This 62790-nucleotide long non-coding RNA is filed under the name Capsicum annuum. RNAcentral's name for it is "long non-coding RNA (CANN_LNC005388)". The record is from RNAcentral. Lineage: Eukaryota; Viridiplantae; Streptophyta; Magnoliopsida; Solanales; Solanaceae.
CCGUGCGUGCCUUGAAGAUAUGAUGUUAAUCAUGGGAUGUUGGUUAUAAUUCUUCAAUCCUAAUAACUUGUUUAGUGGAGUAGUUCUCACUAGUAUUAAAUGGUGAGUAGAAAUAGAAUAUGUCGAAUAAAGAGUUAAGACUAAUUGACAAGUGGAAUCUUGUGUAGAAAUAAGAAUUCACCUAGUGCGUAUGUUUGGCUUGAAUAAAGGGAUUAACUAAGGAAUAUUUCCUAGUUAAAUGAGUUGUGUAUUAACUAGUUGGCUCCUAAGUGACUAUUUUACUUGAUGACUAGAAGUCUAGAAUGCUAGAAAAUGGACCUUGUUAGUUGAAAUGUCAUAACUAGCAAUUGUGGUUAUUAUGUCAUCAAUGGUGAUAAUAGGCUAGCAUUGGUGAUAAUUAAUGGUAUUGAUGACUAAAGUAUAAUGUUAUUGGGUUGUUAAAUGAGAAUUUGUAGAUUAUGAUGCUAGAUAGUAAGAGGCGUUGGUUGAUAGAUAGAUAUGUGCAUUUGAUUAUAUGUAACAUUUUUCCUAUAUAAUGACUAGUGCGCCUAUGAUAACUAGAAAUAAGCUUUGGUCUAAUGGCAUCUAUGGAUUAGUAGUGCAUCUUGACUAGGUGUGGAUAUUGGCUAUUUAGUGAAUAAAAGUUAGUGCUAACUCAUGGUUGAGGUUUAUGUAAAAAAUCAGUUAGGCUAUAAUUAGAGAUCCUAUAAGUACUAGUAAAUUAGUAGCCUAAUAAUAAUAAGUUUUGGUUAUUAGAUAAUGACUAGAUAGAGUGUAUUGAUAUCAUAGAUAUCUAAAUGGCUAUAUGACUAUGGUUAUGAUUACCUUGGUACGUGUUAUUUCAAUUGUGGUAAUUGAUGACGAUUAUGGAUCUUGGUAAAUGAUCGUUGAUGGGUAUUGUGUAAAUCGUGGAAUAAUGAGAAGUUGAUUAUAUGUCUAUAUACAUUGAUGAUUUGAUCUAUUGAUGCACUCUCCGAUUGUGUGGAACGUCAUGAUAAGUUCUCUACUUUAUGUUUUUUUGGGUGAACUACCCGGUGGUAUGGGACACCGUGGUGAGUUCUUUUACUUUAUGCUCUAACGGAUGUAUUUGUGUUGAACUUGGUAUUUAUACGAUUGUAAUUGUAUAUAUAUCGCUUUACGUUUUUGAAUCGACUACUCAUUUUAUAUGAUGGUAUUGGUACGUAAUGAUAUGAGAUGUUGUAUUAUUGUUCUAGUUGGUUAGUUAUUUUGUACAGUGAUGAUGAAGAUGGUUCAGGUUCGAUUUUGUACCUUGACUUAGAGAUAUUAUCUUGCUUUAUAUCAUCUUUCUAUCAUAAUUUAGCUCAGUCGGCGGAUGAUGCCUACUGAGUAUCCGUUCUUUUGGUACUCAUACUACACUUCUAUACCUUUUUGGUGCAGACCCGAGUACUAGUUGUCGCUGCUAAGUUGAGACCGUACAAUGUUGAUCUUCCGGAGACAGAGUGAGCUCUUGGAGUUUUGAGUUGCCUGUUUGCCUCCUAUCUUUAUUCAGUCAUUUGUAUUCAAGACGAAUGUAUAAGACUAUUUUGACUUUAAGUUGUAUUUCCUACUGUCGAACUUAGAUGCUCUUGUAUUAGUAUUACCAGGCCGUGAGAUUAGUAUCCGUAGCUGAUUAUCUAUUGUGGAACAUUGUUGUGUAUGAUUGUGUUCAUCUAUUGUGGCCCUUGUCGGGCGUUUCUACUAAAGUAACCCAUUGUCUUAGCUCUGGGUUAUGGUGUUGGUUUACCUACUGGUGGGUUUUAGUAGGUGCCAUCACGACUCGUGAAUCGAGCCGUGACACAAAAUUAAACAAUAAAAUAUUUAAAUAAGAACCAGAGAAUAAGUUGCAUUUAAACUCCUCCAUAUACUAAUUGUUGCAUAUUAAAUAAAUAUACAUUUCAAUACAUCAAUAUGACUGUCUUGGAUACUGAAGAGUUAUAGUUAAAUAGUUCAACAUUUACAUAUAUGGGAGUACUAUUUACAUUAUAUACUAUUAAUAAAUUACACAAUGACAAAUGCACUUAUAAUUCUGUGAUCAAGUUUUUUUUUUUUGAACAACCUUUGAUCCAAAACACCUGCUCUGCAUAGCAUAAUUGUUUCUCCAAUACAUUUACUCUUUAUCUUUUUCUACAAGGCAAAUUAAAAUCAAGACUUCAAAUGCAUCUAAUAGUUGAAGCAAAGAUAUGCGUUUAACAUUUAAGAGCAAAAAGUUAAAAUGGGAAAGUGAGCGAUCAAAAAUAUUAAUAGAUAGGUAGUGGAGUUCGUGACAGUGCAUAACGAUUGUGUAUUUAGAAACCUUCUUACACUGGCGCUUUGAAUAGCAGUGUCGCCAUCGUUGAUGGAAAAAGCUGAGCUUCAAGGCAGAGGUCACCAGUUCGGAGAGCUUCUGCAGGGUAGAAGUGACAGAUGGUGGUUCUAGAGGUUGUGGCUGACGAUGGGCGAUUUGUAUUGCUAGGAUGACUAAUUUUCGAUAUUUGUGAGUGUCAAAUGAAUUAGUCUUAUUAGAAAAGAAAAUAGGUUUGUUAAUCUUUACUCUUUCAAAAGAAAGUAUAUUAUUUCUUUCUCCGUGUCCGGUAACUCAUUUUCUUCUCUCUCUGCUUAGUACUCUAAUCAAAAGCUUCCAGUAGAUUUAUCGUCGGAUUUUAUCCUUUAAAAGUAUUCGCAAUAGAAGUAAUCAUCAACCUGUUGUGUUUCCUCUUCUUUCUCACUCCUUUCCCAAAAAAUCAAAGCUUGUUAAGGUUAGACAACAAGGGCUUAUAAUAAUGUUCUAAUACAAAAGUCACUCCUACCGUUCUCACACCUCCUGUUCCUUGCACUCAUACAUAUCAUCAUUUUCUGAGUUUUCACCGCCUGAUUAUGUUCGAUAUAUAUAUUCUAUCCCCAAUUCAUUAAAUGCUUUGCCAUUCCUUUUGGCUCUCUCUUCUUGUUAAUUUUCCUCAUAAGUGAUCAAAUUUUGCACUCACCUUAUAUUCUAACUGGACCUUUUUUGGCUCCUCAAUAAAGAAAACCUUCUCAAUGACUAUGAAAAACUAAUAAUCUGGUCCAUAUUAAUAGCCAUGAACAAAUUCAUUAGGGAGUUAAGAUUUACUUUAGUGUUUUCUGUGAGUCAUCCAUGCAACGAAAUAAGCAGUGAAAAAACUAUAAGCUAGACCAUGGUAACAUUACGAACUCUUCAAUGAGAGGGAGAACAUCAAAGAGGAUUAAAGAAAAUUGUCUUAUCAAGAACAUCAUAAGAACAAGACAAGCUUGGUAAAUACAGUGUAACAAAUCUGUUGUGAUAUAUUUGAACACGCAUCUUAUCCAUACUACAAAGCUAUGAACUGAAUUGAAUAGCGCAAUUAUUUUGUAGUAGUACCAUAUGGAUUUCAGAAUUAUGAAGUUCUAAAUAAUAACUUGAAAUUUCUGAAGUGAAAGUGUGUGUAAAUAAAUAAUGUGAACUGGCAAGCCUAUUUGUUAAUGAUGUGAAAAGUUUCAAUAAACCACAAAAAGUGAAGUUAAAAGCCAAGAAAUAGGCAAUUAGUUAGAGCUAAAAUAGUUGAUUCCUAUGUCAUGUGUAUCACUAAUACCAUGUGUCACUUAAAUAAGAAACUAUAAUAUGUAGAGGGGCUUUACGAUAUAGCCGGAUUUUAUUUUUAGACCUAACAGAAUGCCAUAAUUUGAAGGGGAAAACUACUUGUUCAUAUUCUUCCCUUUUAAAGAAAAAUAAGUAGAAGCAUCAGAUAACGUGCAAUAUUCCCAUUAAAUUCUAAAAGCAGCUGAACUUUUAAAUAACAAGAAUAACAGAGCCUUCAUUAAAUCAGAAUUAAAUAAAAAGCAGAAAACAUAUUGCAUACAACUCUAAAUAAAAGAUAAUAACGAAAGGAAGAUAUGGAUAUCAGAUGUAUCGCAUUGGAUCACAUAAAACUUUGAUUUUUACACCACUUGCCUUAUCGUAUUUGCAUUAAGAUAUUAAAUGUAACAUUUGUAAAAUCUUUCCGACUCAUACAUAAUAUAGUAAUUCUUCAUGAAUAAUUCGUUCAAAAAUAACAUCAUUAGCAAUAUCUACGUAUGUAACUAUCUUUUCUUUAAAAACAUUACUUCCUUCAUCCCAAUUUGACAUAUAGUUUGACUGGGCAUGGAGUUUAAGAAAUAUGGUAACAUUUUUUAUAUUUGUGGUCUAAAAUAAGUCAUGAGUGUUUGUGUGGCUACAAAUUAUUUCAUUAAGGGUGAUAAACAGAUAUUAACAUUUCAAAGUUAAUUUGUUACUAAACAUAAACAUGUGUCAUUUUUCUGGGGUAUUGACUUAAAAGAAAAGUAUGUCAUAUAAAUUGAGACAAAGAGAGUAGUUAAUUUCAAACUACCUAAUAAAGAAGUAUGGGUGUUGACUUCACUACAACGAAGAUGUUUAUGGAUCUAUACUCCCAGUAGAAUUUUACUUUUUGAGUUUUGGAAACCUUUAAGCACGCAAUACCUAAUCGUAGACAGAUACAUACAUAUUCGCCUCAUUUUUGCUUUUGGGAGUUAUCAAUCAGUCGUUGUCAUCAAUACUUUAGAAAACUAUAUUAAGAAAACUCUUUAGUUGUGAUAUUCAAACACCCAAAAUAUAGGCAUAAUACAAUUACAUAGAACAAAAAAUUACAGUGCAAGAUGAAAAAGAAGAGAGCAUGAUAUUACCUAAACUUGAUGCGAUCAUUUUUCUAGCGGAGUGACAGAGGAACAUCCUUUUCUGGUAUAUAAAACUAAUAAAAAAACAAUAAAUCAUUCAAACAUUAUGCACAGAGAAUUUGUUCCAAAACAACGAAAUAGGAUGAUAUUGAUCAAAAAAUUAUUCAAUCUUUUAAGUGAUGUUUACUACAAAUUUUAGAUGCAACAAAAAAGUUUGAGAAAAUCUAAAGCAUUUUUACAUAGAUCAUGUGAAAAGGAAUAUUUAUAAAAUACAUUUCACUAUGUGUACGCUCAAUUGUUAAAACUCGACAAUAAUUAUUUCAAAAAAAACUAACAGAUAAAGAACACAAGUUAGCACACAAUUUAAUACUGAAAACAUGGGUCAAAACCUAUUGCACUCAUUCUCAGCUUUCUCUUUGAUGUGCAAUGAGGGUACUCUUAUCCAUUCUAAACUUCAUAUUCGUGUAGGCGAAUUUGUAGUUAAGAAUAUGUUUGCAUGACUUCAUGCUUAUGUGUUCGUUUUUAUAGGCUUCUAAGAGUGAAGUACUAAUUAUUUUCACUGAUGAGUCAUUAUUCAUCAAUUGGAUGAAUUAUAAAUGUCAAUUAUUUUUUUGAAAUUGUGCCUAUAUGUAAUUCUUGGUUGUAUUCAGGAUAUCUGAACACAAAAAGACAUCAUCAAAGUGAAAAUGUGAAAGUAAUGAAAAUUUAUUCAAAAGCAAUUAUCUUACACAAUGACAUAUUACGUAAUAAUAUUGUAUUAAUAAACAAUAAACCUCUCGAGUUGGUGAAUGAUAUGCAAGAUAUAGAAUUCCGUGUAAAAAAGAGAAAACAUAGAAAUUUAUUCAGGCCCGGAGUGGUCCCCCUCCCCGACACCUACGGAGUAGAUAUGAACCGGGUCGUCCCUCCCUUUUAUUAUCAAACACCUUAGCUACGCCAAUGUAAGUAGUUUCCCACGUUCUUUUUUUGUACAAAGAGAGUAAUACAAUAAUACUUAUGUUUAUUUUUUAUUUUCUCUGAACAAAUACAUCUCCCAAAUUUAAAUUAUCACUGAAGAAAAUUUUUGGUAGAACAACAACAACAGCAGGCAUGCCAUUAAACUGAAAAAUCUAAAGAGAAUCGGAAGAAAUUUACCGAUACCAUUUGUAGGGGGUGCGCGGAUUAUAUAUAUAUUUAAUAGAUUUAUUAGGUUUCUAGUGAAUCUAUUUUUAUUUGUGCGUGGAUAUUUUUUAAAUUUUGUUUCAAUAUCUUUUAAUGAUUUACUUUUUUCAUAAGAUAUAUUCAUUAAUUAUUUUAUCCUGUAGUAAUUGCAGAGUUACAAAUUUCUGUAUAAUAAUUUAUCCUAUCUGUACUAUAAUGUAUAUCUAAUUCUAGAUUUUCAAUGUUAUUUAUUAUCUUGUGUUGUUCUUCUCGUAGUGAGUUUUUUAAAUUAUAUAAACUAUCACAUGUACUUUUAUCUAAAUUUUCUAAGGUUUAUUCUAUCCAUACUAAUUUUUCUUUUAGGUUUUCCAUUAUUUUUCUAAUUCGGUUCCUAUAAUUAAUUUCAUUAUUUAGAUUUUCUUGAUUUUCUCUAGUUUUUCUAAUAUAUUCUAGCAUUUUUUAAUCUGAAUAAUAUCCUUCUGGGUAAAUUUCUUCGUAUAACUGUUCUAGACAAUUUGUAGGUUCAAUUUCAUAGUUUAUUACUUCUUCUAAUAUCAUUUUCUUAAUAUCCAUAAUUUCUAUAUUUUUANNNNNNNNNNNNNNNNNNNNNNNNNNNNNNNNNNNNNNNNNNNNNNNNNNNNNNNNNNNNNNNNNNNNNNNNNNNNNNNNNNNNNNNNNNNNNNNNNNNNNNNNNNNNNNNNNNNNNNNNNNNNNNNNNNNNNNNNNNNNNNNNNNNNNNNNNNNNNNNNNNNNNNNNNNNNNNNNNNNNNNNNNNNNNNNNNNNNNNNNNNNNNNNNNNNNNNNNNNNNNNNNNNNNNNNNNNNNNNNNNNNNNNNNNNNNNNNNNNNNNNNNNNNNNNNNNNNNNNNNNNNNNNNNNNNNNNNNNNNNNNNNNNNNNNNNNNNNNNNNNNNNNNNNNNNNNNNNNNNNNNNNNNNNNNNNNNNNNNNNNNNNNNNNNNNNNNNNNNNNNNNNNNNNNNNNNNNNNNNNNNNNNNNNNNNNNNNNNNNNNNNNNNNNNNNNNNNNNNNGUAUAAUAAUUCUGCUUCUGUACAGUAUCUUGUCUCCGUUGGUUUUUGUCGUAUUUGCUCCAUUAUUGUUCUGUAUCUGCUCCAUUAUUGCUUCUGUAUCUGCUCCAUUAUUGCUCUUUAUCUUAUCCUUCCAGCUGGUAUUUUAUCUUCUUUAUUCUAGGUGUACCUCUGGAAUAAUAUUAUCUUCUCCAUUGCACCUCGAACAUUGGUGGUCUGGAUAUUUAUGUCCGAUUAUCUUACAGUAUCUGGUUAGCAGUCCGUCUGAAAUAAAUCCUUUUCUUAUUGCUCGCGCGGUAGAUUGUUUUUCUGGGUUAAGUAGCGUCAGUAUCCAUUGUCUUACGUCUUCCAUAUCUGCUUGUCUUAGUUCUUUCGAAUUUGAAUAUAUCAUUUGGUGAUCUCUUGAAUAGUAGCUCCAUAUUGGAUUUCCGUUAGCGUAGUUAUUUGCUAGUUCUUGUAUGAUCGUAGCUAGUCCAAUAAGUCUUUUAUUUGCAUAAAAAUCUGGUAUCUCGAUUCUAGGUAUCUCUGGUUGUUGCGAAAUAUCUUCUGGUAUAAUCAUAUCUCUUGUCAGUCCUAUCUUUACAACCUGUAUCACUGGUUUUAUUUCAUCAUAUAAUAUCUCUGCUGGUGCAGUAUAACACUUUAUAUAAAAUAAAUUUCCUUUUUUUAUUCUUUUGUAGGUAGUGAAUAUCUUGUAUAAUUCCUCCAUAGCUGUUAGCUCUUCUCCGUCUUGGGUGUAUAUGGUAUUUAGUAGUCCAUAGUCAAAACAGGUUUUAACUAGGCUUGGGUUAGUUUUGGGUAGUGCUAUCAGUUUAUUGUAUCCUUGUAGUUUUUGGGUUAUAUAAUUGGUAUUUGGUUCUUGGAUAUUUGUAGCUCUGGGGUUAUGGUUUAGAAAGGUUUGGACUCUAUAUAUAUUUUCUAUGUAUUUUUGGGCUGUGUAGUUGUAUAUUUUCUUGUCUUGGUUUAGGCUGUCUCGGUAUGUGUUAACUUGUGGGGGUAUGAAUAAAUGGUCUUUUUGUGCUUUUGGGGUAAAUGGUUUUUCAAAUAUUUUGUUCAUAUUUACAUUCUGGUAUCUUGGUCUAUUAACUCCUUUGCUUGUACCUGCAGAAGUAGAUUGAUAAAUGUUAUGGGUUUUAUGGAGUGUCCCAACGUCUCCUUCUAGCUCUGGAUUUUUAAUGUCUUCCGGUCGACAUAGCUCUGCACACUGCUGAGUUAGCUGAUUUGUAGCUAUAGACUUCAGUUUAUCUUCAUUAGUCUUUAGCUUUUCUAUCUCAUUACCCAUACUGUCCACUUUCAUUGAAAGCGUAGUUAGGGUGUUAAGUAUUUUUUCUAGAGUAUCUUCCUCUACUAUUUCAGUCUGUGUAGCUUUGUCUUGAUAUGUAAUCUGCAAUAACAUUUUUGUUAGUACUGAUCACUUCAAUUGUAAAUGUGAAAUUUAAUAUAUUUAAAACUAGUCUUCGAAUCUCUUUUGUUGUAACUGAAUUUUGUAUUUUCUUUGUUAACCACCAGCGUACCUGUGUAUUAUCUGUUCGUACAAUAAAUUUGUUAUAUACAAUAUAUGGCUCAAAUGCUAAUAAACAUUUAUAUAAUGAACAUAAUUCUUUCCUAUUUAUUUCCCAUUUUAUUUCUGUCUCGUUGAACGUACCUGAGUAGUAUCUACAAUGGUGUUCUAUUUUUUCUGCUUCAUAUCGAUAUUUAAGUACUCCUCCGUAACUAUAUUCACUUGCAUCUGCUUCUACUAUAUAUAUAAAUUUUCUAUUUUCAUCUGGAAAUUGCAAUUUUGGUAAUUCUCUACAAAGUAAUUUUAUUUUUUGAACUUGUUUUUUAUCUUUUUCAUCAUAAUUAUAUUCUAUAUCCUUUUUUAAUUUUUUCUGCAGUGGUUUUAAGGUUUCUGCUAAUUUUGGAAUAUAUUCUCUUACUUGGUUUACUAAUCCUAAAAAUGAUUGUAAUUUCUUUUUUGUAUCUAAUUCUUCUUUCGAAUUUAUUAUUUUUUGUACUAUAUGUUGUUGCAUUUUUACUCCACUUUUAUCUAUUUGUAUUCCUAAAAAUUCUAUCUGGUUUUUCAUAAUUUCAGCUUUCUUUUUGCUUAGACUUAUUCCUGAUUUUUCUAUUAUAUCUGUGAAUUGUUCUAAUAAUUUUAAAUGUUCUUCUUUGGUUUUGGUGUAUAAUAAUAUAUCAUCUAUGUAUACUAUACAAUUAGAUAAUUGUUUAAAAUAAUUAUCCAUAAAAUGUUGAUAUCUACCUGGUGCAUUUUUAUAUCCAAAUGGUAACACGUUCCAUUCAUAAAAUCCUUGUGGUACCGUAAAUGCGGUUAAUUCUUUAGAUUCUUCUUCUAGCUUUAGGUGGUAAAAUCCUGAUUUACAAUCAAAUUUGCUAAAAUAAUUAUAUCCUUGGAUUUGUCUUAUUUUUAAUAUCUUAUUUGGUAUCGGAUAAUUAUAUGUUAUAGUUUUUGCAUUUAAAUUUCUAUAGUCAAUAACCAUCCUACUUUUUCCUCUUUUUUGUUCACUAUGUUUAUUUACUAUAAAUGCUGGACUAUUAUGUUUACUAUUACUUUUUUGUAUAUAUUGUUUUUCUAAUAAUUCAUCUAUGUGCAUUUUAAAUUCUUUUAAAUCAUCAAAAUUAUAUGUUAAUGGUUUUUGUGUUAUUAUGCUAUUCUUAUCUAUUAAUUCAAUUUUUAUAGUAGUUUUGUGUUUUUCCCAUCCUUUUAAUGGAUCUUCACUAUAUAAUUGUUCUAAUUUUUUCUGAAUUAUUUCUAUUUUAUUUAUUGAAAAUAUAGUUAUUUCUGUUUUAUUUAUCGAAAAUACUACUAGUUCUACUGUAUCUUCAGUAUUGUUUAUAUUUUCUAACUUUUGUGUAAUUUUUUCACUUCCUUUUAUCCAAUCAGUUUUCUUUCUUAUUUUAUUAUUAACUCUUUUUGCUCUUACUUUUUGUUUGCAUGGUGUUGUAAACCACCAGUCUGUUUUGGUUAUUAUAUGUGGGUAUAAUUUAUCUAAAAAUGGCAUUCCUAAAAGUAUAUCUUUUGAUGUUAAUUCAUAAUUAUAAAUUUCUUCUAUUGUUAAUAUCUUAUCCCAUACUUGUAUUUUUACAUUCCUAGCUUUAUAAGUAAUUAAGCUUCCUUCAUUAUUAAAUCCUUUAACUAUUAUUGGUGUUUUUAGUUUAUCCCAUUUGCUUUCUGGUAAGCAAUUAUAUCUACAUAAAUUAGCUUCUGCUCCUGUAUCUAUCAUAGGCGUAUAAUAUCUACUGUAAUAUCCUUCUACUACUAUCUUCAUUAAUACAUGUAUCUUCAUUUCAUGUUAAGGCUCUUUUUAAGAAUAACUUUUCUUGGUUAUAUGUUAAGGUUAAUUGUGUAUGUUCUAUAUUAUAUGGUUUUACUUGUUCUAACCAUUUUAUUCCUAAUAUUAUAUCUGCUUUUUGCAUUUCUUCCUUUACUUCGAAUUCUAUUUUUAUUUUUCUAACUCCUAACAUUAUUUCUUUUUCUGCUAUAUUUUUAUUAUUUAUUAAACUUCUUGGUAGAUCUGGGCAUAUAUCAUUGUCAGUUUUUAUUUCUUCAUUUUUUACUAGAUAUUUUGCUAUAUGAUUUUCUUCUUGUCCUGUAUUCAAAAGUAUUAAAUAUUCUUUUUCAUUUAUUUUUCCCGUUAUGUAAUAUUGGUUUAAAUUACUUAUUGAAUUUGUUUCAUAACUUGUUCUUUUUGAUGAGCUUGAUGAUUCUGGCUUUUCAUUAGCUAUUCUUUUCGUUGUACUUAUUCUAUCAUUUACUAUUUCUAAAUUUUCUUCUGUAUCUAUGUCUCUAUAGGUAUAAUCAUUAUAAUCUAUUGUUUUUACUAUUUGUUCGAAUGGGCUUUCUAUUUGUAUUUUGUUAAUCUUAUUUUUUCCUGUUAUUUUAUGUUUUGUUGUUAAUACAUAUAGAUUUUUACAUCUUGCUGUAAAUAUUUUACUUCCUGGGGUUAAUUCUAUUCCUGAUAUUUUCCAAUAUAAUACUAAUGAUUUAUCUAUAUUCCUAUCUGUUACUGCUACUGAAUAAUUUGCACUUAUUAUAAAUUUAAAUUUUUGGUAUAUUAGAUUUCCUUUUACGGCAGUUAUUAUGCUUUUUUCUAUAGGUUUUAUAAUUCUAUCGUCUGCUAAAUAUAAUUCUAUUGGUGUAUCUAUUCCUUCUCUAAAACAUGCUUUUAUUAAUAUCUCUGUACCUCCAAGGUGUACAUAUUUUAUUGGAUCUCCUUUACUUUUUAUAUCAUUUAUUUCUUUAUUAAUUAUUCUUUUUGUUACUAGUGGUAUACUAGCUUUUCCUUUUGCAUAUCUGCAAUCUAUUACAUGUUCUUUUUGGCAUACUACAUAAUAUUCAUCUUUUUUCCUAGUAAAAAUAUUUUUUAUUGUUGGUAUUUUAAAUAUUUUGUCUACACUUAAAUCUAAUUCUUUUCCUUUUAUUUCAUCAAAUAUAUUACUGUCAAAUAUUAUUUUUUGUUCCGUUCCUUCAUCAUUUAAAUAUUCUUCCUUUGUUAUUAUUUUUAUAUCUUCUUCAGUCAUUUGAUUCAUCUAUUUCGCUAUCUAUUUCAUUAUCUGUUUCGUUUUCUGAAAUUUCAUAUAUACUAUCUUCACUUUCUAAUUCAUAAUCUAUAUAAUCUAUCUGCAUGUAUUCGGUAUUUUCUAUUUUUAUUUCUGAUAUUUGUUUAUUUUUUGGAUUUUUAGGUAAUUUACAAUCUCUAGCUAAAUGUCCUAACUUUCCACAAUUAUAACAAGUACAUUCUUUUAUAGAUUUCUUUUUUCUAUAUGGUCUUUUAUGUUUAUAAUUUUUUACAUAGUAUCUUUUUCUUGGUUUUUUAUAUUUAUAUUUUGAUUUUUUAUAUUUCUUAUAUUUCUUAUGUCUUUUUCUUUUCUUAUAAUAUCUUUCUUCGCAUCCAAAUUGGGGUGCUAUUUUAUUUUUGCAACAAGCUAAAUUUCUUAUUAAUGUUUUUUCCAUUUUUAAUUCUUCUCUAUAUUUUUCACAUAAGUUUCUAUACCAUUGUUGUAAAUAUUUUAUUCUUGCUCCUAACGUAUCUACUAUUUUUGCUUCUUCCCAACUUUUUAUUAUUUUCGAACUAAAUGGCUCGGGUAAUUUAUUAAAAUAUAAUUUUCUUAUUUCUUUACUUUCUUCUAUACUAUAUGCUCCUUUGUAAUAAUAUUCUUUAAAUGCGCAAGUAUAUUCAUCUAUAUAACACAUAUUACAUAUUGCUAAUUUUAACAUUAAAUUUCUAUUUGUAUCUUUUUCUUCAUUUUGUUCUUCUUCGAUUGUUGUCGUACUACCAAAUUCAUCUUUUAUAGCUGUUUCAUAUUUUUUUAAUAAUUCUAUAGGUGUUAGUUUAGUUGUUGUCGAUGAUGUUCCUUCUAUAGGUUUAUUAGUUCUUAAUACUUUUUUGCUAUUUUCGGUUAGAUUUGCAAACCAUAGUUUUACUGAUCCUAUUAGUGUUUUUUCUAUAUAUUCCGGUGCAUCUGUUAUAUUUAUAUUAUUAUCUAAUAAUUGUUUUGUCAUAUAUCCUAUCCAUAAUUGUAUUAUUUUUUCUGUAUCUAUUACACAGUCUAGAUCUAAAAAGUUAUAAUUUUUCCAUUUAUCAUAUUCAUUAUAUUUUUUAAACUUAUUCUUAUAAUAUAUGGGUUUUCUUAUUUCUGUUGUUUUAGGUAUUAUAUUUUCAUUUUCUUUUUUAUCAAGAGUAUUUAUUUCUGUGUGGGUAUUUUCUAAGUUUUCCUCAUAAAUUUUUUGUUCUUCAUUGAUUUCUAAACUUUUUGUAUUUGUUAAUAUUUCUGUAUAUGUUUCACUAUCUUCGGACUCAUAAUUAUCUGUCUCUUCAAUAUCUAUAUUAUUUGUUUCUAAUUCUUCGUUUUUUUAUUUCUAAUUUUUUCUUAAAUUGAUUUAUCUCAUUCAAUAAUUUCUGUUCUCUAUCUUUUUCUUCUUUUUUCUUUCUAUUGUUGUUCAUACAACUCUUUUAAUAUUUGUAGUUCUUUUUCUAAUUCAGCAAUUCUACUAUUUUUAGUUUCUUCUAUUUUUCAUAUUUUUUCCGUAAUUUGUUUUUUUAUUUUUUCUAUUUCCUUUUUCCUAUCUAUCUCUUCAUUUUCUUUUUCUAUUCUUACCAUUGCUGUUAAUUUAUUUUCUAAUUUUAAUUCUUCUUUUUCUAACAUUAUUCAUCUAUAUAACACAUAUUACAUAUUGCUAAUUUUAACAUUAAAUUUCUAUUUGUAUCUUUUUCUUCAUUUUGUUCUUCUUCGAUUGUUGUCGUACUACCAAAUUCAUCUUUUAUAGCUGUUUCAUAUUUUUUUAAUAAUUCUAUAGGUGUUAGUUUAGUUGUUGUCGAUGAUGUUCCUUCUAUAGGUUUAUUAGUUCUUAAUACUUUUUUGCUAUUUUCGGUUAGAUUUGCAAACCAUAGUUUUACUGAUCCUAUUAGUGUUUUUUCUAUAUAUUCCGGUGCAUCUGUUAUAUUUAUAUUAUUAUCUAAUAAUUGUUUUGUCAUAUAUCCUAUCCAUAAUUGUAUUGUUUUUUCUGUAUCUAUUACACAGUCUAGAUCUAAAAAGUUAUAAUUUUUAUUCACUAUUUGUUUUGGUAUCCAUUUAUCAUAUUCAUUAUAUUUUUUAAACUUAUUCUUAUAAUAUAUGGGUUUUCUUAUUUCUGUUGUUUUAGGUAUUAUAUUUUCAUUUUCUUUUUUAUCAAGAGUAUUUAUUUCUGUGUGGGUAUUUUCUAAGUUUUCCUCAUUAAUUUUUUGUUCUUCAUUGAUUUCUAAAUUUUUUGUAUUUGUUAAUAUUUCUGUGUAUGUUUCACUAUCUUCGGACUCAUAAUUAUCUGUCUCUUCAAUAUCUAUAUUAUUUAUUUCUAAUUCUUCGUUUUUUAUUUCUAAUUUUUCCUUAAAUUGAUUUAUCUCAUUUAGUAAUUUUUGUUCUCUAUCUUUUUCUUCUUUUUCUUUUUGUCUUUGUUCAUACAGUUCUUUUAACAUUUGUAAUUCUUUUUCUAAUUCAGCAAUUCUACUAUUUUUGGUUUCUUCUAUUUUUCGUAUUUCUUCCGUAGUUUGUUGUUUUAUUUUUUCUAUUUCUUUUUUCCUAUCUAUCUCUUCAUUUUCUUUUUCUAUUCUUACCAUUGCUGUUAAUUUAUCUUCUAAUUUUAAUUCUUCUUUUUCUAACAUUAGAUAUAAAUGUUCACCUAUUUUCUUAUAUCUUCGUCCUAGAUUAGAAAAUACUAUUUUUAUUUUUGAUCCUUCGUAGUUUUCAUAUAUUUUUUUCAUCUAUUAUAAAUUCUUCUUUAUUUAUUUUAUUGUGAAUAGGUCAUAUUGAUAUAUAUAUUCUAAACUAUCUAUUUGUGAUUCCAAUUUUGAUAUUUUAUCUUUUUGUGUAUCUAUUGAAUUUUUACUAACUCCGAUAAAUAUAUUAUAAUGUAAUCUUUUUAUUCUUAUUUUUAAUUCUUUACGUUUUUCAGAGAUAAUUUAUUUUAAUUCUUUGUAUUGUUGUACCUUAUUUAUUUUAAAUUAUAUUUAUAAUAUCUUGAUAAAUAUUUAAAUCUAAUUUUAUAGAUAUUAUAUAAAAAAUAUAAAAGACCAUAAAGAAAGAAGAAAAUCAUAUAGAAACAAAAAAUUUAUAAAAGAAUGUACUAUAGAAAGAAAAAAUUUAUAAAAGAAUGUACUAGGAGAGGUGUAUAGCUUAAAUUUGGAAGAUAAGGAAAAAUCAAAGAUAAGCCCUUGAAAGUAUUGAGAGUAUUCUAAACUUAUGAAAGAAUGGUGUGAUUCUGUCAAUGGAUUCAGAAAGAUGAACAAUUGAUGCUUCUGGAAUUUGAUAUAUUGACUAUUCGUUCUGGAAUAAUAUUCAGUGUGAGCUUUGAGUGGUUGUUCUAUAAUUGAGCAAAAUGACUUUUUUACCUUGAUCAUCCCUAGGAUGACUCCAUCAUUGAAAUCGAAUAGAUCUGCAUUAAUCGAAUUAAGUACUCAUGAAUACAUCCAUAACUUCUUAAAUUUAUCAAUAAAUUUUAAUUGGAUAUUCGAGCUAUGAUUUGUUUCAGUUGAAUAUGAGAUUAAAUAUUUCUACUAGAUAUUUCAACUCAAAAUUAGAAAAUAUAAGAGAACUCAAAGAUGAUUAGGGCAAAAUUGAGAUAAAAGAUGACCUGAAAUUGUAAAGAAGAAAGAAAAUUGGAGGAAAUGUUAAAACAAUAAUCACCUAACGAGAUGGAUGAAACUUUGAAAGAGAAUGAGUAGCAAUUAGCAAAGAAAAAUUAUGAAUAAUUUUUCAUUUGACCAACGAAAUUAUCAGUUUAUCUAAAAUUUAGAAUCGACUGUACCUAAAAUUAAAUCUUUGAAAGAAGACAGAAAAAUAGCGAGCAAAGAGGAAGAAUAUUUGGGGCAAAUAUCAAUUCUUGUGUUGCUUGUUUGGAAUGAGAACGAAGAAUAUGGAUGAUUCUAGAGUUAUAAAGAGUGGAUUUGUUUGUAUAAAUUUACAAUAUUACCCUUGUUCGUCCUUUAGCUCAUUCUUUUAUAUAUACUAGUUUAGUGUACGUGCUUUGCACGUGUAUAUUAUUUCAAACAAUAAAAAAAAGUCAUUAAUGUUAAAAUAAAUGUGAUGCUUUAUUAACGUUAAAAAGUAAAAAUUCUUUUUAUUAAUUGAUACAUGAAAGCAUAUUAUUAUUCAAGCAAUAGAACUUAACUUCAAAAAUAUUAAUUACUAUUAUUAUCAUGCAUCAUAACAAAGAAGAUAAAAAAUAAAAAACUAUAUUUAGAAGUAUACAUAGUCUAUUUUAAUCUUCGUAGACAGAGUUGCCUGAAAUUUGUUGUUGGUGGAGGUGGUAGGUAUCUCCUAGAAUUAGUUAAGGUGUGCGUAAACUGACCCAAACAUCACGAUUAUAAAAAAAAAAAGUAUAUAUAUGCUACAUAACUUUAAAUAACGUAAAACUUUAAUUGAUGAAAAAAUCAUGCUAAUCAAAGAAAAUGAUAGAGAGGAGAUCAGUUAAAAAUAUUAAUGGUGCUCUAAAAUUUAAUCUAGAGUUGCGACUAAUCAAUUUUUUCAUGAUAUUUAGAAUUUUAAAACCAACUAAAUUUGAGUUAUUAAAAUCAUAUGAUUAUGUAAAAACUUUUUAUAUUUAAAGUAUUUGAAAUUUACUACUACAAUAUAUUACUUUGACUUUUUAGGUCUUUUUACUAUAAUAUUUAGAGCCAAACUAACAUUAAAAAAUUUAAAUUUAAUUAUUAAAUUAUAAUUCAUCUAUAAUCUAUAAUAUAUUAAAAGCGUGAAGACCUUUAGAAAAAUGAUCUAGACUUUUUGUCCUUUAUUAAAACACUUUACUUUAGACAAAAUAGUCUUUUCACUUAUUUUAUAUAAUAUUUAUUAUAUUAAUAAUAUCAAAUAUUGAGUAUAAUAAAUAUAUGCGCAAAAAAAUAAAUAGGAUUUUUAGUUGAUAUAUGGAAAGAUUAUAUGGAAUUCGUCUUUUAGUUCGUAUAUGAAAAAAUUAUAGGAAUUCUAUUAUUAAUAAAUUAGGACAACACUUCACACGAUUCUUUUUGCUAUAUAUGGGGUUAAUAACCUGCAAUUGGGUUAAUAACACGUAAUUGGUGUAGCUUACACAUUGUUCUUCUUAUUAUUUUCUGGGUUUAUUAUUUAUUUAAUAGCGAUUAUUUUGCUUUGUAGUAUGUGUUUAUUUUUUCUAAUGUUUGAAGAUCUAAUUUUCUGUGUAUAUAUAUUUUUAUGGUGUAUUUGAAGAUCUAACAUUUUUAUGUAUAUAUUUAAAAAAAAAAUUAUCGAAAAAUUGAACAAACAAGCAUGUUGCAGUCGAAUAAUAAAGCAGACGAAAAAAUCAAAGAAGCAUGGUAGUCAAAAAAUUCAAAGGUUUAUAUUCUCUCUCUCUCUUUACCUCUAUUCAAAUAAAAUUUUUGAAAAAAUGAUCAAACUUUUCGUCUUUCAUUAAAAUAUUAUAAAAUAGACAAAAUCUUCUUUUCACCUUUUAAUAAAUUAUAGUCACCAACAAAUAUUUAAUUAUUUACCUAAAAUUUAGAACUUUUUUACCAUACCUUUUACGUAUAAAUUUUUUAAAAAUUCUUUUUUCUCCAAGGACAACCGUUCACAAUUUUUUUGGUGGCAAAAAAUAAUUGUCUUAUGUCUGAGUUAGAAUACUUUGAUUUUUUUCAGAUUCAUUAUAGCUUUAGAGUUUUCUUUGAAAAAUAGAUUCUUUGUUGAGGUUAGGUUUUUGUUUAGGUUUAAUCGCAAAUGUGUUUGUGAUUUGAGGUAAGUUUUCUAAAAUUUUGGUAUGAUUUUUAUAUUUAUAAAAAUAAAUUGUCAUAUACUUUGAUAGAUAGACGAUUGUUAAUUAAGAAGUUUUCUUUUGUGAUUUAAGUAUGUUCUUGAAGUUUAAAAUAAUAAAUUAUCAUGUAUUUUUGAUAGAUUAUUGGCAAUUGAGAAGUUUUCUGUGAUUUUUAUUUAUAAUAAUUUAUUAAUAUAAUAGAUAUAGGAAUAUCUCUAAAAGAUCAAGUUCAUACCUUAAUCGUAAAAUAUGAUUUAAUUAAUGUAUCUGUUAGAGAAUUAUUUUCAUAAACCUAUUUAUUCACAUAAGUAUGUCAUGAGAACUUGCAAACCCAACAUCAUAUAUUUGUUAAAUCCAAUUCAAUAUCACUUGCUUGAAUCAAAAUAGAAGUGGAUUAAAUGAUAGGGUGCAAUAGCCACUUUUUAAUUGCUGAAUUUUUCUUUACUUUAUUGUAGUUUAGAAUGUGUUUUGAUAGGCGUUUGUCCAUAAAAGUAAAAAAAAAAAACCGGAGUUAAGUUGAAGUUGGAGUUGUAAUUAAAAUUAUAGAUUUAGUUGAGUUUGACUAUGAAUAUAUAUUUUGUAAGAGAAAUGAGAAUGAAAAAAGUGAAUACAAGUUGAGAUUUGUUUCACUUUUUCAAAGUUGUAUUUGGAUUUUGUACAGCCAAACAUCAUUUCUUGAAUAAAGUGAAAAAUAUUUUCGAAAAGAAUUGUUUUCUCAUGGCCAAACUUAGCCUAAGUGUAUUAAUACGAACAUAAUUUUAACUUUUGAUAUUAAUGAAAAAUUUUGUUCAAUACAUUUAAUUUUGCUCCUUAAUUAUUAGUAUGAUAGUUGGUUAUCAUGUUCCUCUUUAAACACACUUUUUAGGUUAAAAAAUUUCCGUUAAUUUUGAUAAAAUUUAAAAUUGUUGAUUUCUCCCUAAAAGAUAAUUUUUCUCUUUGCUGAUUAUCAUAUUUUAUCCAUCAAUAUGAAGAUGCGAAGAAAAUAAUACGAGAUGCCAUACUAUUGAAAUAUAAUAUUAUAUAUAUUAUUUAAAUAGACAUAUGUUUGUUUCAACGCCAGUUGAUACUUUUAAUAUAUAGUUUUAUUGUUUGAUGCAAGACACACAUGCAAUGCACGUACACUAACCUAGUUCAAAAAAAAAUAAGAGGGAGUUGACGCAUAGUCAAGUAUGUAGGCUCAGUGGCGGACCCAACUUUUUUAGGUUGUGGGUGCUCAAAAAAAAAUUUACUAAACAAUGCAGCUACAGGGAUUCGAUCCCAGGAUGGGAGACAUGAAAGUUAUAUCUAAAGCUAAAGCACCCAACCAUGCUUUUGUUCUCUGGGUGCUUUUGUAUAUAUUUUACCAUUUUUUCAUUGUUUCUAAUAUAAUUAUACCUCUUUUAGGUCAAGUUUAGUAGGUGCUCGAGCACCCGAAAAUUGCAUGUCGGUCCGCCCAUGUGUAGGCUGAUGGUUAAAAGUAAACACAAACUAUAAAAAAAAAAUGUAAUGUUCUACUAUUAAAACUGAAAAUUAUAUUUUGAAUUAAAGUCAACAAAUGAAAUGUAAUUCUUAAGUGGGGCUUAGAAGAAUAGAGUAUACGUUGACCUUACUCCUAUCUUGAAAAGGAGAAACAGAAUAAUGUCAAUUCAUUUUUUUAAGUACCAGCAGUCCAAGAAAGUCGCUAAAAUACACAAUGUGCAAGGACUUUUCGAUUCUUGUAGGAUACAAGCACAAAAAAUAAGUUCAACUAAUCCAAUGGAAAAAAACGACAAAAGUAAACUCUGGAACAUAAGUAAACAAACAAUAACCAUUUUAGAUAAAUCCGAGUCUGUCUUUCAUACAUCCAUAACAAUCAAGAAAAAGAUAUUUAGCUAAGUACAUAACGCAUUUCAAGAGAUAAAUUGGACAAUUACAUGACAUAACUAAUCUUCUCAAGACUUGAAAAGAAAAAAGAAAAAAAAAAAAGAAACAUUGACAAACAAAAUUAAGAAUUACCAAAAUAUUUACUUAUUUUUCGUUUAUUUAAGUACAAAUGUCACAAAAGAAUCCAUCGAACAUAUCAUCUAUGAAAACACCUUCAAUUAGGACAAUUCAAAUCUCAUCAUUUUGUAGUAAAUCGACAAAUCAACAUGUUUGAUAAUUGUAUAUGAUCAUCCAAAAGCAUAGAACAAAACAAAAAUAUUAACCAAUUAAAUUCAAAACUCUCAAAUCUUUUUUAAUUCACAAACAAAGAAAAUAAUUAAAACUCCCGAACUCUUGAACACGUACUCGAUUCUUUGUCACUUCGAUUUCCACCACGCAUUCAUAACAACCUAGGAAAAGAUAUCUAGCUAAGCACAUAAAGCAUCUCAAAAUAUCAAAAUAUAAUCUUAUAUUUCGAAUUUAACAAAUAAGUGUAAUUAAAAAUUCAACUAUAAUACUAACAAAUAAUGUGUCAAAAUAUAGUAAAUUAACAUAAUCAAAGCUAAUCAAAAUUAAGUAACAAUUAAAAAACAAAGAGAAAGAGAUAAACCUUUGAUAUUUUGGCUACUUCAUUCGGCAUCAAUAUGCUUAUUUUGUCCAAUUUUUCGAUUCAAAAUUCUAAACUGAAAAAGAAAAAUAUCAAAAAAGGAGAAUUUGCUGUCAAUUAUUGAUUAUAUAUAAUUAAUAUAUAAUAUAUAAAGAUAUUAACUAAAAGAAAUUUAAAAAAAAAAAUUAAAAAGAUGAUGAUGCAAAAAUAUGACUUGAAUCAUCAAAAUCAAAAUAUAAGAAGAAAAAAGUAGAAGUAAAAGAAGUAUACCUUUUCUAGUAAAUUUUAAUUUGAUCCAUCCAAAAAUAUUACUUAAACAGAGUUAGAGAAAUUCUUUUUUAUAUAAAGUAAAAUUUUAAUUAAUUUAGAAGUAUUAAAUAUUAUGAUUUCUUACCUAAACUAAUAACAAAAACUAAAAAAACAUAAAUAAAAUUAAGUGCAACUUUUUUUUUAUCUAAUUUAAAAAGAAUACAUUAGAGCCCUUUAACAUAGAGACAAAAUAUAUCUACACAAUUUCUUACAUGCUCUUUUCUUUAAUAUUUUUCUUUUUUAAUUCUUUUUUUUGGAACAUGAGUUUCUUCUUCUUUUUUUACUUUUCAUGUUUUCUUUCUUUUAUUCCUUUUUUUUUUUUUACGUGAUUAAGUGAUUUGUCAAUUAAGGAAAGUUUAUUAGUUAGAAUUAAAAGGGGAGAAGGACUCUUAAAAUUAAUUGUCAAAUAUUUUUAUAUUUUAUAAUCAAUUAAAAAAAAGUGAAAAGACCGUUUUGUCUAUUGCAGAUUAGUUUAACGAAGGAUAAAAAGUUCAAAUCAUUUUUUUAAAGAGCUUCACACUUUUAAUAUAUCAUAGAUUUAUCAAUUAAGGAAAGUUUAUUAGUUAGAAUUAAAAGAGGAAAAGGACUCUUAAAAUUAAUUGUUUAAAUAUUUUUAUAUUUUAUAAUCAAUUAAAAAAAAGUGAAAAGACCAUUUUGUCUAUUGCAGAUUAUUUUAACGAAGGGCAAAAAGUUUAAAUCACUUUUUUAAGGAGCUAUUAUAUGAAUUGUCAAAAAGUUCAAUUCAGAUUAUUAGAAAUGUGAAUGAAUUGUCAUACAUAUUAAUUCAAAUAUGAAUUAAAAAAGAAAUCUAACAAAAAAGAAAUCGAAAAAAUGAAGGGCUAGUCCAUCCCAACUUGCGAUCCUUAGGUCUGGAUUGGACAUAUAUUUUAGGGCCCUCUAGAGUAAAGGGUCUGCUUAUCCUUCUUUGGCCAAUGAGGCUCGUUUGAGUUAGGUUGGCCCAGUCCAUUUUGAUGAUCUAUUUAUGUUGUAAGCCUUAAAAUCUAUAUUUAUAAUCUAUAUCUAUAUCUAUAAUAUAUUAAAAGUGUGAAGGUUUUUAGAAAAGUGAUUCGAACUUUUUAUCCUUUAUUAAAAGAUUUUGCAAUAGACAAAAUCGUCUUUAGAUUAUUUUUUUCUCAAAUUAUAAAAUUUUAAAUUAAAUAAUAUCUUUUCUAUCAAGGUUUGCUCCAUAAGAAUCCUAUUGCUAAGAAACAAACUUUUACAUCACAAUUAGCCGUCAAUAUAUAGAUCCUAAUAAACUUAAACCUUACUAAAUUAUAAAUUAGGACAAAAUAACUAAGCAAAGCAACUACUCCAAGCCUAAAAAAUAUCAAACUGACAUAUUUAUGUGCAGUUAACUGUAGGCCCUUACAAACCUAAACCCCAGUCCUAAAUUAUAAAUUAGGAAAAAAUUAACCAACUCCGAACCAAAAUAUACCAAAAUAGCAUGUUUAACUAUUUUCUUUUAUUUGGCAUAUUCUAGCAAGAUAAGAAAUUAGAACAUUUAACACUUUUAAAUCAAUUAAAAUUUUACUUUAUAUAAAAAAAAUUAUAUAAUUCUAUUUAUGUACUAACAUCCGCUUCUUCUAUCUCUAAGUUUUUUUUUUUUUUUCUUAUUUUGAUUUUUAUUGAUCUAAGUUAUUUUUCUUGCAUUCAUUAUCAUCAUUUUUUCUAUCUUUUUUUUUAAUUAAAAAAAAAUCUUUUAGCUUGCAGCUUUAAAAAUUAAGUAUAAAUUAACCAACAAUUGAUAAUAAAUUCUUCUUUUCUAAUAAUUUUUUGUGUUUUCACUUUCUGUUGAAAGUUUCUAAUAAUAUACACAUGUUGCUGCCAAAUAAAGUUAUCAGAAAAGUCAAAGAUUUAUCUGUUCCGUAGUUUAAGCCGUGACUCAUAUACCUUUAUCGUGCAUAUUUUGAAUGCAAUAAUUUUUCAAUCUACAAUUAAGGUACUUCCGUCCAUAGAUUUUCUACAAAUUAAUUAUUUAUUUAUAACUUUUUUCUUAUUUUUUAGUCUGAAUAUAAUAAUCUCUAUCAAUGUUAACGAGUCAAUGAUCAGGAGGCCAAAUUUAAAUUUUUCAAUGUUCAAUAAGUAUGAUUUUGUUUUAAUUUGCUUUCUUCUUAAGCUCUUUAUUAUUUUGUGACUUUGAAUUUUCUUAUUUUUUACUCAUACACAUAAAAUUGUAAUCUAACAAUUUUAUUGAUUGAUGUUUACAUAUCUCUUAGUAUAAACUUUAGACAUGUAUUAAAUUUUAACUUAUUUAUAAAAUGUAAGAACUGCUAAUAUGUAAUACAUUAAGAUUGAUUAAAAUUAAAUAAAGUUAUCGAUUAAUGUGUAUUGAAUAAUAAUAAAUAUAAUUACUGCCUUCCUAUUUUUCCCUUUUCCUCUAUUUUCUUUCAAGUUCCUUCCUCCAUAAUUAUAUAUUGAAUGUAAUAUAUUGAAAAUAGUUUUUUCGUAUUAGUUGAAGUAGAAGUCUUAUAUGUGUAUUAUCGCUAAAUGGCCAAAAACAAGUUUAAAUAAGACCAAUAGCUAAAUCAGAACUUUUUAAAAUUGAAUAUAUGCAUAAAAAUUAUUUACAUCCUCAAUUUUGAUAUAAAAUGCAUGCACCCACCCAAACUAUACCGUGAAUAGUACCUACAAGAACAAUCUAACACCUUUCUCACUUUUCUUUUCUCAAAAUAUAGAUAAAACACGGACAUAGCCAGUGGUAUUGUGCUAUGUAGAGGAGAUAUGGAGCUAAAAAAUAUCGUAGUUUGUGUCCAUAACAUUUCUCAAAAGCUUGUACAGUUAAUUAUGUCAAGACCAAAAGGAAAUUUAUGAUGGCUGAUUAAUGUACGUUACAGUACUCCAAUAAUCAAAUUCAUCAUAGACACUAUAUCUUUUUCUACUCUCUUUUACUGGCGAAUAGUUGGAAUGCCUCAAAACUUCAUGAAUUUAACCAGGAGUUAAGAAAGUUAUUCAAUAAUUUAAGAAAUGUUGCGGCAAAUGGUGGUUACCUUAGAUGAUCGUAUUCUAAGAGGCAAUAGCAAGUCUAUUGCAGAAAUUGUUGGUGUGUUAAAAUAUGACUGUUAUGGAGAUUUUAUAUAUGUGUGUGUGUUUUACUGCAUAAUUUUUCUAAAAGUCAUUUAAACACGAUUUGACAUAAUUAUUUUUGUGAUUAUUUUUAGUGUCAGCUGUAUACAUGUGUUUGCAUAGUGUUGGAAUUUAUGUUGUAUACAUGUUAUGUUAUUGUACAAAAUGCAAGCUUUGAUUUGAAUUUCUUAAUGGAGGAGCAGAAAUUUUAUAUCCCAAAAUAUAAAAAAUUAGAAGGGUCUUGCUACAUUUCUACAUAAACCCAGGGCUUGUUAAUAAGUUGAAUAAUAAUUAUUGUAAUUUGUUACAAAUAGUUGUUUUAUACUACUUUUAAAAAAUUAUUAUUUAAUUAUUUUUUAUAGUAUUUAGAAUUUAAAAUUAAGAAAUCCUAAAUAUAUUAUUAUAAAAAAAUAUUUUAGAAAUUAAAGAUUCCUAAAAUAUAUGGUAAGAGAAAAAUCUAUUAUAAAAAUUAAUGAGUCCUAUAAUAUAUGGCAAGAGAAAAUGUAUCCCAAGAAAUAUUCGGAAAGUUAAUAAUUAAGAAGUCUCAAAAUACAUGGCAUGAGAAGAAUAUGUUAUAUUUUAUUAAAUAUAAUUUUACUGACAUGAGACACACUUGCAAAGCACGUAUACUGAACUAGUUUGUUCAGAAACUUUUAAUGAGAAGAAAACUAUAACGAUCUAAAAAUUUGAUAAAAUACGUAAAAUUUGUGUUUUUAUGUGAUUUGACUGUUUUACCCCUAUUCAUAAUUGUAUUAUAAUAUUUUUGUGGUGUGGGAGUGAUUGACAUGGUUCCCGGUGCAUUUUGGUAUCAUUUAUGCAAUAUUGUAGUUUUUGAUGGCUUCAAGAGCCUUAUUUUGGACUUAUAUGGAUAUCUUUUGAUCCGUGCGAUGGAUGGCCAAACGGAUUGCGCCAGCAGCUUCGGAAUAUUGAUUUUAGGUUAGGUAGACCUUUGGUUUGGGUCUCGGUGCUUCUGAGCUCAUUUCGACCUAUUGGUCGGAAAGUUAAAAAUAUGAGUGUGGGAUGCACAUUUGAUCGAAACAACCUCGAAUGAAAAAUUCGACUUUCCCAACAGAUCCGUAAUGUUGAUUUUAGGGUAUUAGCAUGUUUGAUAUGAUUUUACAGCUUUUAAAUCUCAUUUUGAUCCUCGGUUUGAAAAAUUGCAAUUUCGAAUUUUGGGGGUUAACUUUUUGAAAGUGAUAUUUUUCGAAAAUCCAACUUUGCAAACGCGUCAGAAACAUCAAAUUUAGUGUGGUUGCAUAGUUCGUUUACAUAUAUUAUACUCCGAACUAAUUUUGGGUACCCCGUCGAAGUCCAGAUUGACUUAAAAAACAGUUUUUUAGCUAUAUCUGUUCAGAAAAAUCUGCAAUAAUAAAUAGCAGUGUCGAGCCUAUUUUUGCUCAUUUUUCAUCUUGCCUCUUGAGAGUUAAACCCUAAAAUAAUGUGGGAGCUUAAAAGUGAAGCUUGUGGGAGCUUGGGAGGUUAGAUUAACAUAUAUUUCUUGGUUUUAUUACGGAUUUAAGGUAAGAAUUCACCCUUUUCUUAGUAAUUUCUAGAUUAAUUUUUCAAGACCCAAAAAUCUUGUGGCUUGAUUUUAAACUUCAAUUUCACUCCUUUUCACUUGAAUAAUGUUUUUAUCUUAUAAUUACUAGUUUUUCAUCAUUUUAACCUUCCAAAAACUCUGAUUCUUGAUUUUAACCCGGAUUUCAAAGAUCUUACCCUGUAAAACUUAAAAAUGGGUUUUCUUUGAUUUAAACCUCGUUUUUUUACUCAAUUUGACUUGUUUUUUUUCAUAUAUAGGUUCCUAAAAAUAUGAGGAACACAUUUUUAAAGUAAACUUUUGAUUUUUUCCUUCAUUUUCGAAAACUCAUUUCGGAGAUUCGUUUUGACCUCGAACCAAAAGUAGUCACUAUGAGUGUCGUUGAUUUUAUUUUGACGUGUAGAUUUUAUAUUUGGAGUUUGGGAUCAUUCGUGGAAAGUAAGGUUGUGGGUUCGAAGUGUAGCGGAUCGGUUUUGACUUUUGAGGUAAGUUAUAGCUUAACUCUUUCAGACUGGGUUGGAUAGUAAAUGAUGGUACAAAAUGCAUGUUAAGGGUGGGAACUAAUCAUGAAAAAUGACUAUCUAUGUGUUGUGUCCGUGUGGGGGCCUAUAUGUGAUGUAAUUAUCAAAAUUGAGAUAUAUGUGAUGUGUGUGAUUAUGUGGAGUCCUAUGUGAUGUUGAUAGCCCUAAAUACAUAUGGAUAAUUGUACUAUAUUAUUGAAAUUCCUAAUAUGAUACCAUUGGUGUAUUGUGAUAGAUUCAUACUUAUUGGUAUAUGAGACAUGUGGAAAUUCAUGAAUGAAAUGAAAAUAAUGAAUGGAUAUUGACUCACAUGGUUGUGGAAAUAUAUCAUUGUGGUUGGUUGUGGAACUAUACCAUGUAGUUGGUUGUGUAAAUACUCUUUGUGAUUGGUUCUGAGCAUUACAUCCUCAUAUCAUACUCAUUCAUGAAAUGUUGGUACCACCGUGGCAACACCUGAGUAACACUGGCAACACCUUUUUGAAACCCUCCUCGAGGGAUAUGUCGGGGAGGAGAUAUUGUAACAUCUUAUAAAACUCUUUUCGAGGAAUGUGACGGAAAAGAGAUAUGAGAUAUGUGGAUUAUAUAUGGGUUGACGAACCUCCAUUGGGUCUUACAUCGGGAAGCUUUAGCUCCGUAGGUGUAUAUAGGAAUUGUGCGAAAAUCUCAUAGGAUGUGCGACGACCUCGUGCAUCAUCAUCAUCAUCAUCAUUAUAUAUAUAUUGCACUUACUUUAUUGUGUUUAAGUUGUGUUGCACUGACAUACUGACUUGUCAUCUAUGUAUUUGUUUUACCUUCCUAUACUUGUAUUUGAUGAUCUUGUAUCUACAUGUUCUCCCUUAUUCUACUUAUAUAUGACAUAAUGUAUACUUGUGUUUUAUAUCUUGGUGUAUUGUUGUAAUAUAUGUGAUAUAUUAAAACUGUUAGUGCAAGCGGUGUGGGCUAUCAUUGUGGGAUAUUUUUUGAUUGUAGGUGAUGUGCCCUUAGCGUAUAUUUUGUAUGCUUUAUUUUAUAAUUUGCUCGGUCGGCCUAUGAUACCUACUGAGUACAAGUGGAUCAUACUUACUUCCACUUCACCCUUUUUGUGCAACUUUAGGCUUGGGUGCGCCUCAGAUUGGUUGAGUUCGGGCACCUUUAGAUUUCUCAAGGUAGCGAUUGGACAUUCAUACGUAUGGAGUUCACCUUUAUAUUUCUAUAUUAAUUAUGUUUUUACUAAUGUUCGGAGACAGAUAUUUUCAUUUAUGGUAAUUGUUCUGAUAUAUUUGAUACUGGAAUUGUAUUAGUAGUUCUUAUACUGUUGACACCAGUUUUUGGGAGUUAUAGCUACAUAUGUUAUUUUAUUAUUUUUGCUUUUAUUAUAUCAUCGUGGUUUGGCUUCGUUCUAAAAUCCUUACCUUGGGGUCUUUCUAUCUUUGUCCCAUUUGUGUAUCAAUUUGGGUAAUAGGCUUACUUGUUAAGGUUCGUCGCCAAAAGUGCCAUCAUAACCCUUAUUUUUUGGGUUGUGACAAAUUAAUAUCAGAGCAGUCAGAUUUCAUUGGUCUCAGCGGUGUAAGAACGAGAUGUCUAAUAGAGUCUCAUGGAUUGGUACGUAGAUGUCGUAUCUAUCUUCGAGAGGCUAUAGAAUGUCUUUAGGAAACUUUUCUUAUUUUUAUUCCUUACCGUGAGAAGUUCUUUCAUAUUUUGUGUUUUGAGUUAUGUUUCACUCAUUCUACGCAGAUGGAGUUGACUACGUCCCGUGAGAGUAGUGAUGUAGAGCCUUCACCUAGAGGGCAAGCCUUAAGUCAUGAUGACCCUGUGGUGCAGCUCCGUCUAGGAGGAAUGCGAGGGGACUCUCCCCUGAGCCUCAUGUUGAACGGGUUGGAGGUAUAGGUCCUACUCCAUUUCUUCAGAGUUUAUCUACCCCAGUAUUGGAGGGAUUGUUGAUACAUUUGUUGACCCGUUUAGAGGGUUCUCCCAUAGUAAUGUUGGGUGUUCCUCUAGUUCAGAGUGUUUCCUUCUGUUGCACAUGCUUAUGGUUUGGGUACACUUCAGACCCCUAGUCCUAUUCGACCUUCAGUGCCGAUACCUGACUAUGGGGUUAUGAGAUCAAGAGUCCAGCCAUCAUCUUUGUUACCUCCCCAGAUAGGAUCACAACCUGCUAGAUUUACUAUAUCUUAUCUCAUGGCUAGUGUAGUGAUGUCUUCUAAAGAUUAGAAGAGGUUCGAGAGGUUUACUCAGUUGGGUCCUCCCAUAUUGGUAGCGUAGCGGGCGAGGAUGCCUACAAGUUUCUGAUUAAUUAUCGAAAAGUUGCACAAUUUGGGUUUACUCGAAUCUCAUGGAGUUACUUAUACCUCUUAUCAGUUAAGAGAUGCAACGAGAGAUUGGUAAAGGUCGCCUGUCAGUUGUAGACCCCGUGAUUCUCUCGAGAUGACUUGGGAUCAGUUCACCGAGGCUUCCCUAGAGAGAUUUCUAUCUUUCAGCUUGAGAUAUCAUAUGCGGAACAAGUUUAAUCAUUUGGAGCAGGGCUCCAUGACAGUUUCUGAGUAUGAGGAACGCUUACAUGCCUUGUCCAGAUAUUUCUAUGAUAGCAUUUUCAUCGAGUCUGAGAAGAUUCAAAAGUUUGUGAAGGGUUUGGAUGUCUCCCUUCAGUUGGCUAUGUCUCAAAUGGUUAUGUUUGGGGAUUCUUUUAGAGUAUUAUGGAUCAUACUAUGAUGAUAGGGGGUAUUCUUAGUGCAUCUCAAGAAGGCACCAAGAAGCCGAGAUAUUUUGGUGAGUUCAGGAGUCAGACCUCUCGAGGUAGACAUUUUAGAGGUUUUCAUGGAUACCAUAGUAAGCUAGUAUAGGAGGAUUUACAGAGCUCUGAUGGUGGACCUUCUAGUUCAUCAGUUCAGGGUGGUCGUUCGAGCUUAGUUGUACCUUUUUCUGUUGAGACUGGUCAUAGAGGUUGCUAUAUGUAUGAUGAGAUUGGCCAUGUAGCCAAAGACUAUAUCUAUCAUGAGGUUCAAGCUACUCUUAUUCCAACUAUGGUAGAGGUGAUACCAAAGGUGCGAAGGGCAGAGCUAGUAGAGCUCGAGGGGUGUUCAUGUAUCCACUCAAGUAAUUGGUGGUCGUGGGGUUCAUCAAGCAGUUGUGGUCGUUGUCACUGUUAUUCUAUACCAGCCAUGCCUAAGGAAGAGGCUUUUGAUGCAAUGAUUACAAGUAUCGUCCCCAUUUGUUUCAAACCUACAUCUAUAUUAUUUGAUCCUGAAUUAACUUUAUCCUAUAUGUCUGUAUAUUUUGCUUCAGGUUUUGAUUUUGUUAGUAAGCCUCUUGCUAUUCGUGUAUCUACCCCAGUAGGUAAUUCUUUAGUGGUGGAUCGGGCGUAUCGAUCUUAUGUUGUGACUUUUGCCGCCUUUAUUAGAUAUGAUAUAUUUUGAUAUUAUUUUGGGUAUGGAUUGGUUGGCUCUCUAUCAUGUCGUCCUAAAUUGUUAUGCCAAGACCGUCACCGUAGCAUCGCUGGGUGUGCCAAGGAUAGCUUGGAAGGGUGCAGUUCAUUUGAGUCCUAGAAGAAUUAUAUCUUAUGUUUAGGCUCUCAAAUUCAUUAAAAGGGGAUGUUUAUCUUACUUGAACCAUAUUUGUGACACCACUGUUGUUUUAUCUUCUUUCUUAGAUUCUGUCUGCAUUGUUCAUGAGUUUAUGUACGUGUUCUCUAUGGACUUGCCUGGUAUGACUUUGGAUCGAGAUAUUGAUUUCGCUAUUGAUGUUGAGCUGGGACCAAGCCCAUCUCUAUUUUUUCUUAUUGGACGGCCGAAUCAGAGUUAAAAAAAAUUAAAGGAUCAAUUUCAGGAGUUGUUGGAUAAAGGAUUUAUCCGACUUAGUGUUUUGCCUUGGGGUGCACUAGUCUUGUUUGUGAAGAAAAAGGAUGGGUCUAUGUGGAUUUGUAGUGAUUAUCAGCAGUUGAAUAAGGUGACAGUUAAGAAUAAGUAUCCUUUUUCUCUUAUUGAUGAUUUAUUUGAUCAGCUUCAGGGUGCUGUGGUGUUUUUGAAGAUUUAUUUAAGGUUCGGUUAUCACUAGUUGAGGAUUAGAGCUUUGGAUAUUCCGAAGACAACUUUUCAAACUUGAUAUGGUCAUUGUGAUUUUUUGGUCAUGUCCUUUGGGUUGACUAAUGCCCCUGAUGCGUUCAUGGAGUUAAUGAAUCGGGUGUUUCAACUAUAUCUCGACUCCUUUGUUAUUAUGUUUAUAGAUGAUAUCUUAGUUUAAUCCAAGAGUGAGGUUGAGCAUGAAAAACAUUUGCAGAUUGUGCUUCAGAGAUUGAGGGGUGAGGAGUUGUAUGUUAAGUUCCCUAAGUGUGAGUUUUGGUUGGAGUCUGUGUCUUUCUUGGGUCAUGUGGUGACUAAGGAAGGUAUCAUGGUUGAUCCAGCCAAGGUUGCAGUAGUUCCCGAUUGGGCUAGACCUACUUCGCCCACCGAGAUUCGGAGUUUUGAUGGAUUGGUCGGGUAUUAUCGGCGUUUUAUCGAGGGUUUCUCUUUGAUUGUAGCUCCUUUGACUAAGUUGACUCAGAAUAAGAUUUUCUUCCAGUAGUCUGAUGCUUAUGAGGCGAGCUUUCAAAGGUUCAAGGAUUUGUUAACUUCAGCUCUUAUAUUGGCUUUGCCCUAGGAGGGCGUGGGCUUUACCGUAUUUUGUGAUGCUUCUGGUGUUGGAUUGGGUGUUGUGUUGAUGCUGGAAGGCAAGGUGAUUGCGUAUGCAUCUCGUCAGUUGAAGCCACUUGAGAGGAAUUAUCCUAUCUAUGAUUUGGAGUUAUGCGCAGUUGUGUUUGCCUUGUAGUUAUGGAGGCACUACUUAUAUGGAGUCCGUUGUGAGAUCUUCUCAGAUCAUCAUAGCCUUCAGUACUAUUUUACUCAGCGAGAUCUUAAUAUGAGACAGAGCCAUUGGCUUGAGUUGCUUAAGGAUUAUAACUUGAUUAUUCUUUAUCUUUCGGGCAAGGCUAAUGUGGUUGCGGAUGCCUUGAACCAAAAGUCGACUAGCAUGGGUAGUUUGGUGCAUAUUUUGACAUAAGAUGGGCCUUUGGCUUUAGAGGUUCAGUCUUUAUCUAACCAGAUAGUUAGGCUUGAUAUUUCAACACCUGGGCAUGUUUUUGCAUUUGUGGAUGCUAGAUAUUCUUUGAUGGAACAGAUUCGAGUUCAUCAGUUUGAUGAUGUUGGAUUAAGGUCGAUUUGAGAUAAGGUAUUGGGUGGGAAUGCUAAGGAAUCCUUACUUGACUCAGAUUGAAUUUUGUGGAUUAGAGGUCGAGUUUGUAUGCCGAGAGUGGCUGACUGGAUUAGAUUGAUCUUGAAGGAGGCCCAUUGUUCCAGAUAUUCCAUCUAUCCAAGUGUGACUAGGAUGUAUCGUGAUUUGAGACAACAAUGCUGGUGGGGUGGUAUAAGGAGAGAUAUAGCAGAUUUUAUGGCUCAUUAACUUUGUUAUCAGUAGGUGAAAGUCGAGCAUAUAAGAUGUGGUGGUUUGCUUCAGAGGUUACCCGUUCUUGAGUGAAAGUGGGAACACAUCACCAUAGACUUUGUGACUGGUUUGCCUCGUACAUCUCAUGGUUCUGACAGUGUUGGGUUAUCAUGGAUCGAUUGACCAAGUCAUCUCAUUUUAUUCUGAUUCAGGUCUCAUUUUGUGUAAGAGGUUGGCCCAUAUCUACAUUUGUAAGAUUGUGUGUCUUCAUGGUGUGUCGAUGUCCGUUAUUUCAGAUCAAGGUCCCAUGUUCACAUCUCACUUUUGGAAGACUUUUCAAGAUGAUUUGGGUACUUGGGUUGAUCUUAGCACAGUAUUUCACCUCUAGACUGAUGGAAAAUUAGAGCGGAAUAUUCAGGUUUUGAAGGAUAUGCUUCGCGCAUGCAUGAUGGGUUUUGGUGGCCAAUGGGAGCAGCAUUUGGCUUUAGCAGAGUUUGUAUAUAAUAAUAGCUACCAUUCCAAUAUUGAUAUGACUUCUUUUGAAGCAUUGUAUAGUAGACGUUGUUGAUCCCAAGUGGGUUGGUUUGAUGUUUCAGAGGUGAGACCUCAUGGUAUGGACUUGCUUCGUAGGUCUUUGGAUAGAGUCCGGGUCAUUCCGGAUAGACUUAGAGUGGCUCAGAGUAGGCAGAAGUGUUAUGCUGAUCGUAGACUUCGUACCUUGAGAUUUGGUGUUAGUGAUCAUGUUUGCCUUAGAGUUUCACCCAUCAAGGGUGUCAUGAGGUUUGGGAAGAGGGGCAAGCUUAGCCCCAGGUAUAUUGGUCUAUUUGAGAUUCUUUGGACUGUUGGUGAUGCGGCUUAUGAGUUGGCUUUUCCCCCUGAUCCACCAGCUGUUUAUCUAGUUUUUCAUAUUUUUAUUCUUUGUUGUUACAUUCUGGAUAAGUUUCAUAUUAUUCGUUGGGAGUCGGUUUAGUUAGAUGAGCGGUUGUCCUUUGUUGAGGAGCUAGUCUCCAUUUUGGCUAGGAAUGUUAGGCGGUUGUGCUCUAGAGUGAUCCCUGUGGUUAAGGUCUAAUGGCGACAUCGACCUAUAGAUGAGACUACUUUGGAGGUCGAGUCUGAUAUGCAUAGUUCUUAUCCUCAACUCUUCAUUGAUUCAGGUAUUUCUUUGUCUUAGUUCGAUGAUGAACUACAUUGUUAGUGGUUGAUGAUGUAACUACCUAAAAAUUUGAUAAAAUAUGUAAAAUUUGUAAUUUUAUGUAAUUUGAUUGUUUUACCCCUCCUCAUAGUUGCAUUAUAAUAUUUUUGUGGUGUGGGGUGAUUGGCAUGGUUCUCGAUGCAUUUUGGUACCAUUUAUGUGAUAUUGUAGUUUUGAUGGCUUUGAGAGCCUUAUUUUGGACUUAUAUAGAUAUCUUUUGAUUCGUACGAUGGAUGGCCGAAUAGAGUGCGCCAGCAGCUCCGGAAUAUCGAUUUCAAGCUAGGUAGACAUUUGGUUUGGGUCCUGGUGCACCCGAGCUCAUUUCGACCUAUUGGUCAAAAAGUUAAAAAAUUAGAAAUAUGGGUGUGGGAUCCACAUUUGAUCGAAACGACCUCGGAUGAAAAAUCUGACUUUGCCAACAGAUUCGAAAUGUUGAUUUUAGGGUGUUAGAAUAUUUGGUAUGAUUUUAUGGCUUUUAAAUCUCAUUUUGAUUCUCGAUUUAGAAAAUUGCAAUUUCGGGUUUCGGGAGUCCACUUUUUUAAAAUGAUGUUUUUUUGAAAAUCCGAAUUCGUCAGCGCAUCGAGAACGUCGAAUUUAGUGUGGUUGUAUAGUUUGUUUUCAUAUAUCGAACUCCAAAUGAAUUUUGGGAACCCCGACGAAGUUCGAAUUGACUUUAAAAAAACAGCUUGUCAGCUAUAUCUGUGCAGAAAAAUCUGCAAUAACAGAUAGCAGUUUCGGGCCUAUUUUUGCUCAUUUUUCAUCCUGCCUCUUGAGAUUUAAACCCUAAAAUAGUGUGGUAGCUUAAAAGUGAAGCUCUUGGGAGCUUGGGAAGCUAGAUUAACAUAUAUUUCUUAGCUUUAUUACAGAUUUAACGUAAGAAUUCAUCCUUUUCUUAGUAAUUUCUUGAUUAAUUUCUCAAAAUCCAAAAAUCUUAAGGCUUGAUUUUAAAUCUCAAUUUCACUACUUUACACUUGAAUAAUAUUUUUUAAUCUUAUAAUUACUAUUUUUUUAUCAAUUAACAUUCAAAAUAACUCUGAUUCUUGAUUUUAAUCCGGAUUUCAAAGAUUUUACUGGGUAAAGCUCAAAAAUGGUUUUCCUUCGAUUUGAACCUAGUUUUUUUACUCGAUUUGACUUGGAUUUUAAUCUUUAGGUUCCUAAAAAUAUGGAGAGCAUAUUUUUAAAGUAAAAUUUCGAUUUUGCUUUUCUUUUUCGGAAAACCAUUCCGGGAUCCAUUUUAAACCUGAACCAAAAGUAGUCAAUAUGGGUGUCAUUAUUUUUAUUUUGAUGUGUAGAUUUAAUAUUAGAUAUUUUUAGUGGAGUUUGAGAUCAUUUGUGGAAAGUAAGAUCGUGGACUCGAAGUGUAGCAGACUGAUUUCAGCUUUUGAGGUAGGUUAUGGCUUAACUCUUUCAGACUGGGAUGAAUAGUGAAUGAUGGUACAAAAUGCAUGUUAAGGGUGAGAACUAAUCAUGAAAAAUGAUUAUCUACGUGUUGUGCCCGUGUGGGGGCCUAUAUGUGAUGUAAUUGUCGAAAUUGAUAUAUUAUGUGAUGUAUGUGACUGUGUGGAGUCCUAUGUGAUGUUGAUAGCCCUAAAUACAUGUGAAUAAUUGUACUGUAUUGUUGAAAUGCAUAAGAUGGAACCAUUGGUGUACUGUGACAUAUUCAUACUUAUUGGUAUAUGAGACAUGUGGAAAUUCAUGGAUGAAAUGAAAAUAAUGAGUGGAUAUUGACUCACAUGGUUGUGGAAACGUAUCAUUGUGGUUAGUUGUGGAACUAUAUAAUGUGGUUGGUUGUAGAAAUAAUAUUUGUGGUUGGUUGUGAGCAUUACAUCCUCAUAUCAUACUCAUUCAUUAAACAUUGGUACCAAUUGGUAACACCUGAGUAACACUGCAACACCUUUUUGCCGAGGAGUAGAUACUGUAACACCUUAUUAAACCCCUUUCGAAGAAUAUACUGGAAGGGAGAUAUGAUAUAUAUGGAUUGUAUACGGGUUGAUGAACCCUCCAUGGAUCCUAUGUCGGGAAGCUUUAGCUCCGUAGGUGUAUACAGGGUUUGUGCAGUGAUCCCAAAGGUUGUCCAAUGAUCUCGUGCAUCAUCAUCAUCAUCAUCAUCAUCAUCAUCAUAUACAUUGCACUUACUUUAUUGUGUUUAUGUUGUGUUGUAUGGCCAUAUUGACUUGUUAUCUUUGUAUUUGUCUUACCUUCCUUUUCUUGUAUUCGAUGAUUUUGUAUCUACAUGUUCUCCCUUGGUCUACUUAUAUGUGACAUAAUGUAUACUUAUGUUCUGUAUCUUGGUGUGUUGUUGUAAUAUAUGUGAUAUAUUAGAACUGUUAGAGCACGCGGUGUGGGCUAUCAUUGCGAGAUAUUUUUCUGAUUGCAGGUGAUGUGUCCUCAGUGUGUAUUUUGUAUGCUUUAUUGUCUACUUUGCUCGGUCGGCCUAUGAUACCUACUAAGUACAAAUGGAUCAUACACACCCCUACUUCUCCCUUUCUAUGCAACUUUAGGCUCGGGUGCGCCUCAGAUUGGUUGAUUUCUGGUACCUUCAAAUUUCUUAAGGUAGCGGUUGAACAUUCAUACGUCUGCAGUUCACCUCUAUCUUUCUAUACUAGUUAUGUCUUUAUUAGUGUUUGGAGAUAGAUAUUUUCUUUUUUGGUUAGUUUUCUGAUGUAUUUGACUCUGGAAUUAUAUUAGUAGUUUUUAUACUGUUGACACUAGGUUUUGAUAGUUAUGGUUUCAUGUGUUAUUUUACUCUUUCCGCUUUUAUUAUAUCAUAAUGGUUCGACGUCAUUCUAAAAGCCUUAUCUUGGGGGUAUUUCUAUCUUUUUUUCCUUUGUGUAUCAGUUUAGGUGGUUGUUUUAUGGAAAUUUUGACUUUUUAGAGUCGCCACUUAAUUUAUUUGAAAAGGAAUUAACAAAACCUUUAUAAAGUACUUAAACGAUCCAAAACAGAAAAAUCAUUUAAAUUUGAAGAUUCUGAGUAAGCAGUUCCUAUUGAUACAAUUGGAAGGUUGUUAAGGCACCAAGAGUAUCCACUAACUUACGGUUAUCCAGACUAUUUGAAAAUAUCUUUUGACUAACUUCAAAAAAAUUCAUUGUUGAAAAGUGAUUAAUUUUAGAAAAAGACUUGUAUAAAAUAGUUUUGGACGACUUAGUAGGGAUUUUAACUAAGUCUAAACAAACUAAUAACAAAGCAUGUAAAAUGGAAGGGGGCGAAAAUAAAAGACUUAGGCCGUUGGGCCCAAAUCAAUAGACCAUGUCCUAAUCUAAUUGGACUUUUGGUCCACUUGCACCUGUCCUAAUCUAAACGUUGGGCCUAGGCCCGUAACUUGUCCUAAACUAAUUUUUCAGGCCUGUUGGCCCAAAAGCUGCUCCACCGGUAUUAAUUUAUAAUUUUGGCUUUGAGGACCCGAAUAAAUGAAUAAGUAAAUGCUUAAAUGAAUAAAUAAAAAGAAAACAAUAAUAAAAAUUAAGACUUUUCAAGUCUCUUAGUGACCUCAUCAAUGAAUUUUGACCCAUUUUCCUUCUUCGUCUAUCUUCUAGCACCCGAACGCCAUAUAGUCGACCUUGGGUUUAAUCUUCGAACUUGACUUGAAGAGGUGAGCCUCAUUGGCCCAUUACGAAAUGUAAGAGGAGAUGAGUCAAUUUGAACUAGAGACAUUUUUUGCAUGCAAAGAAAAGAUAAAGAAGUUAAUAUACGUUCAAGGCAUAAAAGUGACAUAUUUCAAAGCAAAAGAAACUAUCAAGGACCAAUUUUUGAAGGACAAUGAUAAGCGCACUUGCACAAGAAUGAGAGUCAACAAAUAAAAUGCAAAGCAAAGACACCCACUUACAUGCCUCAUGAUUUAUUUUCUUAUAAGAAUGAAUAAAGGUAAAAGGAAGAAAAUCGUAUUCAAAAAAUUAAUGCGAGAACAAACGACGCAAGUUUGCGAGAGUAAAGGGAUGAGGCGAUAAGAAAAUACUCAUGACUUCUAAAAUUGAACAAACAUAGAAACUAAUUCAUAUAACAAAAGAAAAUAAAGGCUAACUUCUAAAGAAAGUGAAUCUUUAAAUUUCUAUUAAGGAGAAAUUAACGAAGAUUCAUACAUCUAAGUCAUGGCAACUUUAGGGAAAACAUGUAACGACCUAUGAUUUAUCGUUCUAAGACAUCGUUGAUUCUCUUUUGAUAUUAUGACUCAAAGAGAGACAUGAAUCAAGUCUUUACACACACAAAGAACACAUAUAACAAUUCAAAGGGAGUAAGAAAAUUAGAAUAAAAGUUUAGCAUCUCUAAAAGUGAAAUAUCGUUCAACAAUCAUACUAUGCAUGACUCGAGAAUAUCUAAAUAAUUUUAUUUAGCCAUAAAAAUUCUAACUUUCUCAUCAUUUUGACAAAUUAACAACAUGCAAAAAAAAAGAAAAAGAAAAGAAAUAAACAUCUUGGAUGGAAAAUAAAGCUAGUACUCAUCACUUAUAUGAGGAUUUUGAAAUCCAUUAAAAUAAUUAGCAAGCAAAUGACAAAUUCUUGACUUAAUCAAUUACUAUUUUUAUUAAGGCGAAACAAACAAUAGUAACGAUUUUUCCAACAUAAAAGAAACAACUUUACAUGCUAAUAACAAGCAUAUCCACUAAUAAUGAAUUUAAACAUGGCUUGAAUACGUCUUUUGAGCAGAGAUCAAAACUUUAUACAUAACAAUCAAAGAAUAAAGUCAAAAGGUAAAACAAUUAAUAUUAACUAUUCUUUUCAACAUAAAGAAAAUAACUUUACAUGCUAAAAACAAACAUAUCUACCAACAAUGAGUUUAAACAAGACAUGGGUAUGUUUUCAGGCAAAGGUCUAAACUUUAUCCAAAAUAAUCAAAGAUUAAGAUCAAAAGGCAAAAUAAUCAAUAUUAACUAUUUUUUUCAACAUCAAGAAAAUAACUUUAGAUGCUAAAAACAAACAUAUCUACCAACAAUGAGUUUAAACAAGACAUGAGUAUGUUUUUCUAGCAAAGAUCUAAACUUUAUCCAAAAUAAUCAAAGAAGGUCAAAAGGCAAAACAAUCAAUAUUAACUAUUAUUUUCAGCAUAAAUAAAAUAACUUUACAUGCUAAAAAUAAAAAUAUCCACCAACAAUGAGUUUAAACAAAGCAUAAGUACAUCUCUUAAGCAAAGAUUGAAACUUUAUCUAUAAUAAUCAAAGAAUAAAGUAAAAAAAAGGCACGUACAACUAUUGCUAGCUUAUUUUUAUAUCUUGAACAUGAAAAUAAUUAAAAUAUCGAUACCACAAAGUCAUAUGGCCUUCAAGGCCAUCUACAACAGACAACUCCAGCAAAUAAAUUAUAAUUACGAAUUACGAAGAAGAAAAAGAUGAUGUAGAAAAUCAUAAUAAAACUAAAACAAAAAGAAAAUAUUUGUUUACCUUUUUUGGGACAGCAAAACGAGACUACGAGCUUCGUCGGAAUAAACCACCACCGAAAAACAUCGCCGGCAACUCAAAAAUUAUGAUUAGCCGACCAACUCUAUGAAACAAAAAUUUUUACUAAAUGAAAAUAACUAUGUUGCUCAAAUUUUUUUUUUAUACCUUUCUAGCCCUUUUUUUUUUAACUUUUCCACCAUCCUUUCUACCAAAGUAGUGAUAGUACUUAUAGGAGAGAAUGAAGUUUUAUUUUAUUUUCUCCAUCAAUGUGGGAGAAAAGUAUUUAUAGGAAAGGAUGAAGAUUUAUUCCUUGUCAUCCACCAAUGUAGGAGAAAAGCCAUUUAAGGGUACUUUUGGAAUUUAAAAAUUGAAGAUAAGGUGAGGUGAAAGAUAAUAUGGGAGGAAAUUGUACAAUGUAGUAUAAUUUUUGAAUUUUAAAAUUGGGAAAGGACAAAGUUGGGGAAAAAUAGUACAAUGUAGUACAAUUUAAAAUUAUUUUUUGGUGGGAAUUGGAUAGAAGUUAUGUGAGUUUUGGGAAAUUUUGGGGUUAUUUAAACUAUAACCCCAAUUAAAAUUUAAAAUUUAGCCAUAUUCAUUUAAUUUUGACCAAAUUAAAAAUCAAUUGACGGAUUGCAUUGCAAUUAUGACCAAUUUGAUUUCAAUUAUGGUCAAAUCUAAUAGAUUGACUAAAUUAAAUUGAAAUUCGAUACGAAUUAAUAGUUCUUUUAAUCCCGAGCUUCUUGAUCUAAUAAAAUCAAACACAUAUUCAUCCAAAUAAAUUAUUUUUGAGAAUAAAUUAUAUUUAAAUUAAUAUUUUAAUUCUUUAAAUUUAUUUCAAGACAAACCUUGAUUAAAAUCCGAUAUUUUAUAAAAAUGGAUAUUUAAGUAAAAAAUUAUUUAAUUUCGUAUAAUUGAAUAUGUUAAUAUAUAAUCGCUAUUAAAAUGACAAACUUACCUAGAUAAAUAUUUUGAAAAGCUUUUUAUCCGGAUAAAAUAAAUAUUUUAAUUUUAUUUAAAAAAUCAAAGAAACUUGUAAUCAAACUUAGUUAUGGAGGGCAAAAAUUAGGUGUCAACAACUGCCCCCUCCUUUUGGGUAGGGUGAAUGCAAGUAACCCUGGGCAAAGGGAGGUUGAUGUUCCUAAUUUUUGUCCGACCAAUAAAUUCGAAUUUGAAAAAGUUUGGUUUCGCACGAGUUUCAGAGUUAUGGCUAGACCUCGGUAUCAAGUUUCCCAUAUAUAUCAGGUUACAUGAGAAUUCAGGCUAUUUGUAGUUCAUAAAGCUUGAUUUAAAGCACAGUUUUUAAAAGUUCACAAGCUAUGUUGGUUUUAGAUUUGUUUAUGAAACCAAAAAGCUAAAGAAUAAAGGGAUUUGGGGGGAGGUUGGAAUGCAGUCGAAUUUUCUAUAUAGAUCCAAUCCUACAUAUCCCCAAGAUUUCAGAAAAUCAGAUUGCUUGUAGUUCGACUCAAUCGGUAUAAAAAAUGGUCUUUUAUUUCAGACGAUUUUUGGCUCUAGAUGAGUGAAAAGUUGAUUGAGUUGCAGAAAAGAGGCUUGAAACCUCUUAACCAUGAAUGUGGAGUACUUCACAUCCAUAGGUAAGAAUUUAACUGGACAUAAUUUCUAAAACUCUAGGUGUGUUGUCACUCGAAUUUGAAAGAAGAGAAGAUUACCUUCCAGUAUGAGUUUAUAAAUAUCCCAAAGGUAAAGCUGAAAUAAAAAUAUCCCAAAGUACCCACAUGCCUUCUAACAGGGGUAUGGUUUGAUUGGUAGUGGCGAUGAUCCUUCAGCUCGCGUCCAAAGAGUUUUACGUUCCUCUCUAGAUUAUGUCCCAUUUUGCUGCUAGGAAAGAGUUCCACGUUUUGCUGCGUCCUAUCUAGAGUCGUCCGCACCUGUGGUUCUGAUUUGAGAUUUUCAUCCUCUUGGAUGCUCCCGACAAUGUUUCAAGCAAAAGUGUCUGUACUAAACAUAAUUCAUGAAAGAGGUAUGUUGUCUUUUACCAUAUAUCCACGUGGGUUGUCGCCUGAAAAAAGAAGUCAUCCUUUCGUGUACCUGUUUGGAAGGAAAUAACUUGCAAAACAAGACACAACAAACCUCUUGGUUGUUGCAUAAUUAUCUUAUUUGUUGGUUGAAUAUGUCUUUAAAGUAGGGUGGCCCUCUCGAACACCGAUAAUACUUUAUGCAGAAUGGUCCCUGCAAUCGUGUAAUCUUACGUUGAUGUAGAAACCCUUUUGGUCACUUAUAAUGAUGGUUGUAUGUGGAAUGAUAACCUCUCCGAUUUCAGACAACGAUUCCUUACAUAUGACAUCAGGUAAGUCUUGCGCAUCUUUUGUAUCUAUACGACUAAUAGAUUCUCCUUAAAUUAUCAAUCUUUACAUAAUCUCGUGCAUUAUUUGAUGUUGGAUACGAGGCAACUUAUAGAUAUCUUUUGAAUUGCUAGCUUCUAGGUGAUCCUGGACAUUAUCUGACCUUGGAUAAUAGAUGGCUUAUAGAUAUCCCUCCAAUCGCUAGCCCUCAGGUAUUCCUGUACAUCAUCCGACCUUGGAUACAAUAGACUUAUAGAUAUCUCUAAAAUUACUAGUCAUUGGGUAAACCUACACAUAAUCGAUCUUGGAUAUGAUGCAGCUUAUAGAGAACCCUUGGACGUAUCAAUUUGAUAAUCUUGCAUAUUCUCCAGUAAGGAUUUAGUUGUGACUUAUGGAUGACCUUUAAACUAUCGAUCUUAGGGUAACCUUGCACACUAUCCAUUUAGGAUGUCGUUGUAGCUUACGGAUGACCUAUGGACUAUCAACUAAUAGGAAAUCUUGCACACUAUCCUAUUUCAAAUAACAUGACUUAUAGAUGACCCUAGGAUUGUCAAUUUCUACGAAGUCUCAUAUGUCGUUAGCUUUCAGAUAGCGACUUAAAGACGUCCCUUUGAAUCAUAUAUUUUUGAUUCAUUCAGAUGUUGAUUCAUAAAAUAAUGAGAUAUCCUCGAUGCCAGCAUAUGCUAUCUCGCAUGUCAAUAGAUAUUAGAUACCGAUGAUAUCCUCGACGCCAGCGUACGCUAUCUCGCGUGUCAACAGAUAUUAACUAUUGGUGAUAUCCUCGACGCUAGUGUAUGCUAUCUCGCGUGUCAAUAGAUAUUAAAUUUUGAUGAUAUCCUCGACGCCAGCCUAUGCUAUCUCACGUGUCAACAGAUAUUAAAUAUUGAUGAUACCCUCGACGCCAGCAUAUACUAUCUCACGUGUCAACAGAUAUUAAAUGUUGUUGAUAUCCUCGAUGCCAGCGUAUGCUAUCUCGCGUGUCAAUGGAUAUUAAAUAUUACUGAUAUCUUUGACCAACGUAUGCUAUCUUGCGUGUCAUCAUAUAUUUAAUGCGGGUGAUAUCCUCGGCGCCAACGUAUUCUAUCUCGUGUGUCAUCAGAUAUUUAAUGCUGAUGAUAUAAUCGAUGUCGGCGUAUGCUAUCUCCGUGUCAUUAGAUAUUUAAUGUGGAUGAUAUCCUCGAUCCCAGCGUAUGCUAUCUCACGUGUCAUCAGAUAUUUAAUGGAGAUGAUAUCCUCAACGCCAGCGUAUACUAUCUCGUGUGUCAUCAGAUAUUUAAUGCGGAUAAUAUUGUCGACGCCAGUAUAUGCCAUCUUGUGUGUCAACAGAUAUUAAAUAUUUAUGAUAUCCUCGACGCCAGCGUAUGCUAUCUCACGUGUCAACAGAUAUAAAAUCUUGCUGAUAUCCUCGACGCCGGUGUAUGCUAUCUCAUGUGUCAAUAGAUAUUAAAUGCUGAUGAUAUCCUUGAUGCCAGCGUAUGCUAUCUCGCGUGUCAUCAGAUAUUAAAUGUUAUGGCCCUCUUGGCGAUGAAAAUGAUAUGCAAUGGACCUCUUGGCAAUGGAAUGAGAUGAAAUAGCCCUCUAGGUAAUGAAGAUGAUUUUGCCUGAAUCCGUUUGUCUACUUUUUUGCUUGAUAGAUGUACUUGUACUCAAGGUAGAUAGUUUGUAGACACAAUGUCGCUUUUGCUUGCGACUAUUUUUAGAACAAUUCUAAAUACAAUAUUUAUAAAGAAGAUAAGGCGUCUUUGUUUGUCCUUCAUGGUCUCAAGAAAUGAAAUAGACAAUUCAAAAGGUCUUUGAUAAAUGCGUAUUAACCCGUCUUUAGGGCUACCCGAAAAUACCAUUCUUGAGCAUUAUAUUUUCUGGUAUGGCUCCCAACUUACCCGGGGAUUUUUCAAAAAAGUCUCUCAUUUUUGUGUAUUGAUCCCUGCAUCCACAGAAAAAUAAUUAGUUUUGAGUGAAACUACUCCAUGUUGACCUCCUUCGCUCCUCAGUUUGAUCCUCACCAUCUUUCAGGUGCUCCAUCAUGUUGGUACCUCCACCCUGACUCCCUGUUCCAAUAGACGCUUAGGCAAUCACUAAGUAAAAGAUUUGUAUAGAUUUUUAAAAGUAGUCUUAAUUUUAGAAAAUAGUUUCGAAAGUUUCUGUAAAAGCUUUUAAAAAUAUCUGCCAGUCAUGUCAUGUACUGGCUCAAUGAACGUCUUUCUCUUAGUUUUGACUAUAUCCAAUGGAGGAUUUUCAAAAUUCAUCAUCAUUGUAGGAGGUUUCUUUAAACAGUUCUAUCAUAGUUGGAGAUUGAGUCUACCUAGACUUUGUCGCAGCUGGUGACUUCAAAAGUUUGACUUUGACCUCUGGUGCUGGGGAGUUUAAAAUAUAUUCCAGUGUUUGGUGGAAAUUUUGAGGCCUUCCUCAAAAUUUUCUCCCCCAUUUUAAAGCUUUUUGAUAUGAUAUCAACUCGAGAGGAUCUGAAGUCGUUGUUGGUCUUCGUUAUCUUUGUUAGAUGAUGAUCUUCCUCUUGUGAAUUUUUGAGAUUCCUUCUCGAAAAUUCUGCCCCAGUUUUCAUUUUCUGGGGUUACAUAACUGAGCCAUUGGGGCGCCUACGUAUCCUGUUGAAGCAGGAAUCAGGUCAAACGUAGUUUAGGACUACACUAAGGAUAUAUAGAAAAAUAUAAUAGGUUGAACGAAGCCGACAUAGGCCGAUUAUAUAUCCCUUUUUUGGGAAUUCAGGUCAUCACGUAGUUCAUACAUGAAAGAAAAGGGUAAAUUUUCCUAAAGGAUUGACCGAAGCCGACAUAGGCCGCCUACGUAUCCCUUUCUUGGGAAUUUAGGUCAAAUGUAGUUCGUACAUGAGGAAAGGGAUUCUAGGCAAUUACACAUCAUAAAACAAAUACUAUCAUAAAGACUAUUACAAAUAAGCCCGGGAAAUAAAAACUAAAACAUCUUUUAAACAUAGUAUCUCUUUACAGCAUCAGAAUUGAUUGGUUUGAUCUAAUCUUGACCAUCCAUCUCAGGUAGGAUUAGGGCUCCUCUAGGUUGGGCUUCUUUUGGUUUUCAAAUUCCUUAUAUCUUUCACUAACUUCUCCUCAUCACCUUUUUUUCGUUCAUUAUCAUUCUCUUCGCUUUGUUCGUCUAACCCUUUUCAUGACAUGACAUUGACAAAUUUUUAAAUUAUUGCUACCAAAAUAAACCAUGUUAGAUGAUGAAAAGAUAAUACUCCCUCCGUUUAAAAAGGAAUGACCUACUUUUCUUUUUAGUCUGUUUAAAAAAGAAUGACCCCUUUCCUUUUUUGGCAAUACUUUAAUUUCUACUUUUCACAUGGUAUAUUUAGGAUCACAAAAUUAAAGAAAAUUUUUAUACAUUUGACACAGCUUUAAUUUAAGGCUACAAGAUUCAAAAGUCUUCUUUAUUUUCUUAAACUUUGUGCCAAGUCAAAGUUGGUCAUUCUUUUUUAAACGGAGGGAGUAAAAGAUAAUGAUAUAAUCAUAUUUCAAAAUAACUUCUUAAAUAAAAGGAGGUCUUUUCAUUGAAAUUUAGGAAAUAAGUACGAACUAUGGCUCAUGACCCGCAUAAAUACGGCCCCAUGCCUUUUUGAAAGCAGCAAAACACGAAAAGGAAGUUUGAGACAUAAAAGGGUGGAUCACGGGGCCUCCUUCGGAUCAUCACCAAUUUUUUAUAACUACUAGUAAUUGCCUUUUCAUCUACCAUGACGGGCGACGGGUUAUGAGUAGAGUGGAGGUCCAGUUUUGUAAAGUCUCUCCUGGUGCAACCUUUCUCACCCCAUCAGACUUUGGUAAAUCAUUGUAUCCCUCAAAUGGAUUUCUUAUCCCAUCCCUAAGACCAUCAUCUUUUAACAUCUCACGCAAAGGAAAUGACUGGUACAUGAGUGGCAAUGGUUUAGACAGACUCGUCUUUGACUUAUCUUUAAUCUCAUCUUUCUUUCUUGGUUGGUAUCCUAAUCCAUACUUAGAUGUUUUUUUUGGGACCAUAAUGGGCUCAAUAAUUCCUUCUAAAUUCUCACCCAAGAUACUUUAGAUAGCCACAGCUUUCUCUAUCCUUUCUACUCCUUUUGUCUUUUUGGAAUUUUACGAAUCCACCUUAGUAAUAAUCUUGCUUGAUACCCAUUCAUCUGCUAUUUCGAUCAUGCUAAUCGUGGCUCCCCCAUUAUUAGGCAUUGGAUUACUAGUGACAUUUGGUGUCGGUGCCUGAAGAGUGAUGAUCUUCUAAUCAAUCAAGUCUUGGAUCUUGUGUUUUAAAUUGAUGCAAUUUUCAGUAUUAUGCCCGGUUGCUCCUGAAUGAUAAGCACAGACUUGAUCGGCCUGCAAGAAUUAGGAAUUGAUAUUAGUAGGCUUUGGUAGAAUAGGCUAUAAAUAACCAGCUUUCAUCAAUCUUUCAAAGAUUUUGGUACGACUUUCAGCCAAUAGAGUAAAUUUUCUAGGAGGCCUCUUUUCGAGGUUUACAUGUGGAGGGUUAUACUGAUUUUGAUUAGAGGGAUGAGGUACUUGAUAAUAGUUAAGAGGCGCUUGGUUGAUUAUUUGGUUGUUUGGAAGAGUGGCUUGAACAUGAGACUGAUAAUUUGGCUGCGGACCUUGGCACUAGGGUAAAAUAUUUAGAAGUGGAGUUUGAUACUGGGGUUGGGCAUAGAAUACAAGCUGAAAACUUGGUGACGGUGGUGAGGAAAGAAUAUUCGUAGGCUUGAAUUUCUUCUUCAACUUAGCAAUAGAAUCAGUAGAGACCGCACCUACAUCUUUCUUUUUCUUCUUUGGGAACAUAAAAGUCCCAGACGGUGUUGGGGUUUUGACAAACUUUCCUGUUCGAAUGCCUUCCUCUAGCGAUCCCCCGAUUUUUACUAAAUCUACAAAAAAUUCCUUAAUCGUGGAUACCAUCCUAGUGUAAAAUUCUCCCUCCUGAGCAUGAGAGAAAAUUGAUACCAUUUUCUCCUCAGACAUGGGAGGUUGUACUUUGGCAGCUUCCUUCCUCCAACAAAAAGCAUAGUCUCGAAAACACUCACCAUUCUUCUGCUUAAUCCGGUCUAGUGAGUAUCGGUGAGGAACUAUCUCAACGUUAAAUGCAAAUCUAUCGAGAAAACUUUUAGCCAACGCCUUCCAACUAGACCAUCUUUUCAGUUCUUGAUAUGUGAAUCACUAUAAGGCUUCGCCCUUAAGCUUCAGAUGAAUAAAUGCAUUAAUAAUGUCUCAUUUCUUCCUACCCUAAUCAUUUGAUCACAAUACUUUCUCAGAUGGGCCAUUGGAUUUUUGGUACCGUCGAACACCUUAAAUUUAGGAACCUUGUACCCUUCUGGUAGAUCUACUUCGGGGUGCACACACAGAUUAUCAUACCCCAAGGUAUCCUUAUUACCUGCCCUGUGAGAUUCCUUGAUCCUCAUGAUCUCUUCAUUCAUGGCUAGCAACUUUUUUUCAUGCUCGGUCCUCCACUUUAUUUCUUUUUUCUCGUAAUGGUCUACCUAGGGAUUGGGAAUGGGAUUGUAGAUGUCAGGGGAUACGAUGAAUUAAUAAGGAUUUAGAACGAUAGCUUGAUUUUGAGAAUGAAAGGAGGUUGGGUGGUAGGAAGGGAGGAAGUUUAGGAAAUUGAUAGCGUUUUGUGGAAUUUAAGAAGAGUUUAGUGGAAUCUGAGAUAGAGUGGAUUUAGAACCGAGUUUUGUAACUUUUGAGAUGGAUUUUAUUGAUUUGAGAGUGUAUUUUAUGGAUUUGGAGAUGAAUUUUGUGGGGUUAGGGAUGGAUUUCGGGGAUGGUGAGCAUCUAGGUUAUUUUAUCAUUUGGUGUUUUGGACAAGUUGAGGAACAGAGAUGGAUGAUAUAUUAUUUGGAGGGUCCUCGAGAACAGGUGUACUGAUGGGGGAUUUGGAGUGAAGUCCCAUGUCCUCCUGGAGUGGGAGCGUUGAAAGUGAUGUCCAAGCUAGCCAAAUCUCGAGUAUGAUUCAUCUCCUUCUAAAGCAUUUCUAAUUUUCCCGCAAGUUCAUCAAUCAUCUCGCUUUGUUUCGCUAUUACAUUGUCUCUGAUGAUCUACAUAUUCUCUUUGUCGCUUCCAGUCAUAUUUGAAUGAUGGUCAGAGGAUGGGAUUUUAUGAACUUUUGACCGGGUGAAGUAAUGAUGUUCUGCCAGUUUAUUUUAACACGGAGCAGUGUUUCAUUAUCUGUAAAGAAAAAUAACUCAAAGAAAGAUGUAUUAGUUCCCAUAUGUGAUAAAUAAUACAAGAUAUUUGACAAAAAGUAACCACAUAGAGUUAUUUUCCUCAUAGGCAAACUGAUCUACGAGAGCAUAGUGGAUAAAUUUGUCUUUGAUGCACAUAAACACAUAAGGCAGUUAUAUCACAUAAUAAACACAUAUCCUAGUUGGGUGACCCUUUUAAGCCAAGGGUUGGCCUAACGCAUUUGAAAGAAGUAUAUGCUUUUUAAACCAAUCCAUUAUCCCUCAAAAAUCUUCAUAGGUGUACAUAAGUGGCAUAAAUGCCUACAAAAGUUGCACAGAAAGGGAUACAAUCUAUAGGGAAAGGGGAAAAACAACAUGAGAAAAAGAAUAAUGUCCUGCGCAAGGGAUAGGAAAUAUUAAUUCCUGAAUUGGUAUAUGAUUGAGGCAUCCUUACAUGAAAGCAAGCAAAGCAGGCCUUCUUCUGACCCCCAAAGGAUAAUGGAUUAGAUUAAACAAACAUAUAUUUCUUCAACACAUAAAUAUGAUUCUUCAGUAAUUGACUCGGGGUCAAUAGACACAAGGCAAGUUUUAUAAUGGGCCCAUUACACCCUUCGAAUAUUGGUUCGUCGUAGACUUAUGCCUAAAAGAGUUUUGGUUUAGCUCUAUCCUGGGUGUCCAGAGUAUGGACACAGGUUUUCAAGCGGACAACUUGAGUUUGGAAACACGAAUGGCCUUUGACCGCCUAACAUGCCAAUAAACUGUCUUAUUUCCAAUAUUCAAUUUGGAGUUGAACAAUAGGGGAUAGGAUAUCCUCGUAAUGCCAAAAUAAUUUAAUAAUCAAUGCAGGACCAUGCUAUGAAAUGCAAUAAUUAGAUCCCACAAAAUCGAAACACAUAAAUAUGUAAGCAAUUUAAACAGUUUAGUCAAAAGAUGAGAUCAAACAUUUGGUUAGAACCUAGUUCAAAUCCCCAACAGAGUCGUCAUUUCUGUUUUGCGAAAAUUUUGACUUUUUAGAGUCGCCACUUAAUUUAUUUGAAAAGGAAUUAACAAAACCUUUAUAAAGUACUUAAACAAUCCAAAAAAGAAAAAUCAUUUAAAUUUGAAGAUUCUGAGUAAGCGAUUCCUAUUGAUACUCUUGAAAGGUUGUUAAGGCACCAUGAGUAUCCGCUAACUUGCGGUUAUUCGGAUUGUUUGAAAAUAUCUUUUUACUAACUUCAAAAAGAUUGAUUGUUGAAAAGUGAUUGAUUUUAGGAAAAGACUUGUAUAAAAUAGUUUUGAACGACUUAGUAGGGAUUUUAACUAAGUCUAAACAAACUAAUAACAAAGCAUGUAAAAGGAGAGAGAGAGAGAAAUAAAAUCCCAAAUCAAUAGACCCUGCCCUAAUUUAAUUGAGAUUUUGGCCCACUUUCACCUGUUCUAAUCUAAAUGUUGGGCCUUGGCCCGUAACCCGUCUUAAACUAAUUUUUCAGGCUUGUUGGCCCAAAAUCUGCUCCACCUGUAUUAAUUUAUAAUUUUGGCUUUGAGGCCCCGAAUAAAUGAAUAAGUAAAUGAUUAAAUGAAUAAACAAAAAGAAGACAAUAAUAAAAAUUAAGACUUUUCAAGUCUCUUAGUGACCUCAUCAAUGAAUUUUGACCCAUUUUCCUUCUUCGUCUAUCUUCUAGCACCCGCAUGCCAUAUAGUUGAUCGUGGGUUUAAUCUUCAAACUUGACUCGAAGAGGUGGGCCUCAUUGGCCCAUUAUGAAAUGCAAGAGGAGAGGAGUCCAUUUGGACUCGAGACAUUUUUUGCAUGCAAAGAAAAUAUAAAGAAAUUAAUAUACGUUCAAGGCAUAAAAGUGACAUAUUUCAAAGAAAAAGAAACUAUCAAGAACCAUUUUUUUGAAUGACAAUGAUAAGCACACUUACACAAGAAUGAGAGUCAACAAAUAAAAUGCAAAACAAAGACACCCACUUACAUGCCUCAUGAUUUAUGUUCAUAUAAUAAUGAAUAAAGGUAAAAGAAAGAAGACCAAAUUCAAUGAAUUAAUGCGAGAACAAACAACGCAAGUUUGCGAGAGUAAAGGGAUGAGGCGAUAAGAAAAAUACCCCUGACUUCUAAAAUUGAACAAACAUAGAAACUAAUUCAUAUAACAAAAGAAAAUAAAGGCUAACUUAUCAAGAAAGUGAAUCUUUAAAUUUCAAUUGAGGAGAAAUCAACGAAGAUUUAUACAUCUAAGUCAUGGCCAACUUUAGGGAAAACAUGUAAUGACCUAUGAUUUAUCGUUCUAAGACAUCGUUGAUUCUCUUUUGACAUUAUAACUCAAAGAGAGACAUGAAUCAAGUCUUUACACACAUAAAGAACAAGUAUAACAAUCCAAAGGGAGUAAAAAAUUUAGAAUAAAAGUUUAGCAUCUCUAAAAAUGAAAUAUCAUUCAACAAUCAUACUUUACAUGACUCGAGAAUAUCUAAAUAAUUCUAUUUAGCCAAAAAAUUCAAAAUUUCUCAUCAUUUUGACAAAUUAACAACAUGCGAAAAAAGAAAAAAAAGGAAUAAACAUCUUGGAUGGAAAGUAAAGCUAGUACUCAUCUCUUAUAUAAUGAUUUUAAAAUCCAUUAAAAUAAUUAGCAGACAAAUGACAAAUUCUUGACUUAAUCAAUUAUUAUUUUUAUUAAGGUGAAACAAACAAUACUAACUAUUUUUCCAACAUAAAAGAAACAACUUUACAUGCUAAUAACAACAUAUCUACUAAUAAUGAAUUUAAACAUGACAUGAAUACGUCUUUUGAGCAAAGAUCAAAACUUUAUACAUAACAAUCAAAGAAUAAAGUCAAAAGGUAAAACAAUCAAUAUUAACUAUUCUUUUCAACAUAAAGAAAAUAACUUUACAUGCUAAAAACAAAAAUAUCUACCAACAAUGAAUUUAAACAAGACAAUGGUAUGUUUUCAAGUAAAGAUCUAAACUUUAUCCAAAAUAAUCAAAGAAUAAGGUCAAAAGGCAAAACAACAAUAAUAACUAUUUUUUUCAACAUCAAGAAAAUAACUUUAGAUGCUAAAAACAAACAUAUAUACCAACAAUGAGUUUAAACAAAAUAUGAGUAUAUUUUUCAAGCAAAGAUCUAAAUUUUAUCCAAAAUAAUCAAAGAAUAAGGUCAAAAGGCAAAACAAUCAAUAUUAACUAUUUUUUUCAACAUAAAGAAAAUAACUUUACAUGCUAAAAAUAAACAUAUCCACUAACAAUGAGUUAAACAAAGCAUAAGUACAUCUUUUAAGCAAAAAUUGAAAUUUUAUGUAUAAUAAUCAAAGAAUAAAGUCCAAAGAGGCACGUACAACUAUUGCUAGCUCAUUUUUAUAUCAUGAACAUGAAAAUAAUUAAAAUAUCGAUACAACAAUGUCAUAUUGCCUUCAAGGCCAUCUACAGCAGACAAUCCCAGCAAACAAAAUUAUAACUACGAACUACGAAGAAGAAAAAGAUGAAGAAGAAAACCAUAAUAAAACUAAGAAAAAAAAAGGAAAGUUGUGUUUACUUUUUUGGGGGCAGCAAAAUCAGACUACAAGCUUCGUCGAAAUAACGACCACGAAAAAUUCGCCGGCAACUCAAAAAUUUUGAUUAGUCGACCAACUCUAUAAAACAAAAAUUUUUACUAAAUAAAAAUAAAUAUUUUGCUCAAAAGUAUUUUUUUCUACCUUUCUAGCCUCUUUUUUUGUACUUUUCUACCACCCUUUCUACCAUAGUAGUGGUAGUAUUUAUAGGAGAGAAUGAGGUUUUAUUUUCUUUUCUCCACCAAUGUGGGAGAAAAAUAUUUAUAGGAAAGGAUGAGAAUUUAUUUCUUGUCAUCCACCAAUGUGGGAGAAAAGUCAUUUAUUUCUUAAACCUUGUUCCUACAUGACCUGAUCAAUUCGAUCAGGCACUCGCCAUCUAUUUUCAUUGUUCAAAUCUUUGACAACAUGAAAAAACCAAACGCUCUACCCCCCUCUCUAUCUAUCCAAGGGAUGGAAGGGCAGAGGCCUUUGGUGUCCCCUCCAGUCAAGAAUUGGGGCCUCACAAUCACUAGCCAAUAUGCUUUUCUCUCAUGCCUUUCUUAGUUCAUGGUUCGAUAUCUGGUGUCCUAGGCGUAGAGGAACCACACCAAUCCAUCCCGAACUUGGUGGUUAAACUCUACUGCAGUGAUGAUACUGUAGGGGAGGUCCUACGGAUGUUUAUGGAAUUCAAAAAUUAAAGAUAAGGUGAGGUGAAAAAUAAUGUGGAGGAAAAUUCUACAAUGUAGUACAAUUUUUGAAUUUCAAAAUUGGGAAAGGACAAAGUUGGGGGGAAAUAGUACAAUGUAGUACAAUUUAAAAUUAUUUUUUUGGUGGAAGUUGGUAGAACUUAUGAGAAUUUUUGGGAAUUUUGGGGUUGUUUAAAAUAUAACCCCAAUUGAAAAUUUUAAUUUAGCCAUAUUCAUUUAAUUUUGACCAAAUUAAAAAUUAAUUGACGGAUUGCAUUGCAAUUAUGGCCAAUUUGAUUUCAACUAUGGUCAAAUCUAUUAGAUUGACUAAAUUAAAUUAAAAUUCGAUAUGAAUUAAUAGUUCUUUUAAUCUUGAGCUUCUUGAUUUAAUAAAAUCAAACACAUAUUUAUCCGAAUAAAUUAUUUUUUAGAAUAAAUUAUAUUUAAAUCAAGAUUUUAAUCCUUUAAAUUUAUUUCAAGACAAACCUUGAUUAAAAUAUGGUAUUUUAUAAAAAUAGAUAUUUAAGUAGCAAAAUUAUGUAAUUUCGUAUAAUUGAAUACGAUAAUAUAUAAUUGCUACUUAAAAUAACAAACUUACCCAGAUAAAUAUUUAAAAAAAAAAAUUAUUCGGAUAAAAUAAAUGUUGUAAUUUUAUUAAAAAAAUCGAAGAAACUUGGAAUUAAACUUAGUUAUGGAGGACAAAAAUUAGGUGUCAACAGUGAUAGGCUUACUUUUCAAGGUUCGCCGCGACAAGUGCCAUCACGACCCUUGUUUUUUAUGAGUCGUGACAAAUUUGUAUUAGGGCAGCCAGGUUUCAUUGGUCUCAAUGGUGUAAGAUGUCUAAUAGAGUCUCAUGGAUUGAUACGUAGACGGCUGUAUCUAUCUUUGAGAGGCUAUAGGAUGUCUUUAUAAAACUUACCUUAUUUUUAUUUCUCAUCAUGCGAAGUUCUUUCAUAUCUUAUGUUCUGAGUUAUGUUUCACUCUUUUUGCACAGAUGGUGUUGACUAGGUCCUACGAGAGUAGUGAUGCAGGGCCUUCACCCAGAGGGCGAGCCUCAAGUCGUGGACAGACUCAAGGAAGAGAACGGCCCCGUGGUGCAGCCCCAUCUAGGAAAAGUGCUAGGGGACUCUUCCCUGGGCCUCGUAUUGAGUAGGUCGGAGGUGUGGGUCCUACUCCAAUUUUUCAUAAUUUGUCUUCCCCAGUGUUGGAGGGAUGGUUGGUAAGUUUGUUGACCCUUUUAGAGAGUUCUUCCUUGGUUAUGUUGGGUAUUCCUCCAGUUCGGAGUGUGGAUCCUCUUGUUGCACUUGCUUCUGGUUUGGGUACUCCUUAGACCCCGAGUCCUAUUCCACCUUCUGUACUGAUAUCUGACUAUGGGGUUUCGAGAUCAGAAAUCCAACCGUCAUCUUUGCUACUACUCCAUAUGGGAUCACAGCCUGCUAUAUUUAUUAUGUCUUCUCUCAUGGCUAGAGCAGAGAUGUCUUCUAAGGAUCAAAAGAGGUUUGAGAGGUUUUCUCGAUUGGGUCCUCCCAAAUUUGGUGGCACAGUGGGCAAGGAUGCCUUUGAGUUUUUGAUUGAUUGCUGAGAAAAGUUGCACAAUUUGGGUUUACUCAAGUUUCAUAGAGUUACUUAGACCUCUUAUCAGUUGAGAGAUGCAGAGAAAAAUUAGUGGGGGUCGCUUGUCAGUUUUAGACCCCGUGAUUCUCCCAAGAUGACUUUGGAUUAGGUCACUGAGGAUUUCCUAGAUAGAUUUUUGCCUUUCAAUUUAGAGAUUGUAUGCGGGACGAGUUUGAUCAUUUGAAAAAGGGAUCCUUGAUAGUUGUUGAGUAUGAGGCAUAUUUCUAUGCCUUAUCCAAAUAUUUCUAUGAUAGCAUUUUCACCGAGUCUAAGAAGAUUCAAAAAGUUUGUGAAGGUUUUGGAUGUCUCCCUUCAGUUGGUUACUCUUAGGUAGCUAUGUUUAGGGAUUCUUUCAGAGUAUUAUAGAUCAUCCUAAGAUAACAGAGGAUAUUAUUAGUGCAUCUCAGGGAGGCACCAAAGAGGCACGAUAUUUUGGUGAGUUUAGGAAUCAGACCUCUCGAGGCAGAGAUUUAGAGAUUUUUAUGGAUACCAUGGUAGGCCAGUCCAGGCGCCUUUAUAAAGCUCAAGUGGUGGACCUUUUAGUUAAGCAGUUAAGGGUGGUCGUUCGAGCUCAGUUGUAUUUUUUUUAUUGAGACUGGUCAUAGAAGUUUCUAUGUGUGUGAUGAGAUUUGCAAUGUGGACACGGAUUUUCCCCUCCGAGUAGUUUGGGCUAUUCCAACUGUGAGGGGCAGGAGUGCUACCAAAGGUGCAAGGGGCAUACGUAGUGGAGCUCGAAGGAGUGUUUAUGGAGACACUAAGGUAGUUGGUGGUCGUGGGGUCACCGCGGUAGUCGAAGUUACUGUUAUGUUAUACCAGCCAGGCCUGAGGAAGAGGCUUCUUAUGCUAUGAUUAUAGGUAUCAUCCUCGUGUGUUUCAGACUUGCAUCUGUAUUAUUUGAUCCUGAAUUGACUUUUUUCUAUGUGUCUGUGUAUUUUUCUUUGAUUUUUGAUUCUGUAAGUAAGCCUCUUACUAUGCUUAUUCGUGUAUCAAUCCCGGUAGGUGUUUCUUUAGUAGUGGAUCGAACGCAUCGAUCUAUGUUGUGACUUUUGUAGGGCGUGAGACUUUGGUAGAUCUUCUUGUAUUAGAUAUGGUUGAAUGUUAUUUUGGGUAUGGAUUGGUUGGCUCCCUAUCAGGCCAUCCUAUAUUGUUAUGCCAAGACCAUGACUUUAGCUUCGCCGAUUAUUCCAAGGAUAGCUUGGAAAGGUGCACUUCAUUCGGGUUCUAGGAGUAUUAUAUCUUAUGUUCACGCUCAUAAAUUAGUUGAGAGGGGAUUUUUAUCUUACUCGGCCCAUAUUUGUGACACCAGUGUUGUUUUGCCUCCUUCCUUAGAUUCUAUUUGUAUUGUUCGUAAGUUUAGGGAUGUGUUCCCUACGGACUUAUCAGGUAUGCCUCCAGAUCGAGAUAUUGAUUUCACUAUUGAUGUUGAGCCAGGCACCAAGCCCAUCUCUAUUUCUCCUUAUAUAAUGGCCCCCAGCAGAGUUAAAGGAAUUGAAGGAUCAAUUACAUGAGUUUUUGGAUAAAUGAUUUAUCCGACCUAGUGUUUCGUCUUAGGGUGCGCCAUUCUUGUUUGUGAAAAAAAGAAAGGUCCUAUGUAGAUUUGUAUUGAUUAUCAACAAAUGAAUAAGGUGACGGUUAAGAAUAAGUAUCCUUUUCCUCGCAUUGAUGAUUUAUUUGAUCAGUUUCAGGGUGUAGCAGUGUUUUUAAAGAUCGAUUUGAGGUUCGGUUAUCACUAAUUAAGGAUUAGAGCUUCUGAUAUUCUGAAGAUAGCUUUUCAAACUCGAUAUGGCCAUUAUGAGUUUUUGGUUAUGUCCUUUGGAUUGACCAAUUCCCCUGUUGCAUUUAUGGAGUUGAUGACCCUAGUGUUUUGACCAUAUCUCGACUCUUUUGUUAUUGUGUUUAUAAAUGAUAUCUUAGUUUAUUCCAAGAGUGAGGUUGAGCAUGAGGAGUAUUUGCAGAUUUUUCUUCAGAGAUUGAGGGAUGAGAAGUUGUAUGUUAAGUUCUCUAAGAGCGAGUUUUCGUUGGAGUUUGUGUCUUUCUUAGGUCAUAUGGUGACUAAGAAAGGUAUUAUGAUUGAUCCAACCAAGGUUGCAGUAGUCACGAUUGGGCUAGACCUACUUCCUCCACCGAGAUUCAGAGUUUUAAUGGCUUGGCUAGGUAUUAUCGGCGUUUUAUUGAGGGUUUCACUUUUAUUGUAGCUCCCUUGACUAAGUUGACUCAAAAGAAGAUUUUUUUUUGUGGUUUGAUAUUUGUGAAAUAAACUUCGACUAGCAUGGUAGCUUGGCACAUCUUUUGACCCAAGAAAGGCCUUUGGACUUAAUGGUUCAAUCUUUAGCUAACCAGAUGGUUAGGCUUGAUAUUUCGACAACGGGGCAUGUUUUGGCAUUUGUGGAUGCUAGAUUUUCUUUGAUGAAGCAGAUUCGAGCUCAUCAGUUUGAUGAUAUUGGAUUGAGGUCGAUUUGAGAUAAGGUAUUGAGUGGGAGUCUAAGGAAGCCUCACUUGAUUCAGAUGGAAUUUUGUGGAAUGGAGGCCAAGUUUGUAUGACGAGAGUGUGUGACUAGAUUAAGUUGAUCUUGGAGGAGGCCCAUUGUUCCAGAUAUUCCAUCCAUCAAAGUAUGACUAAGAUGUAUUGUGAUUUAAGAAACCACUACUGGUGGGGUGGUAUGAGGUGAAAUAUAGAAGAUUUUGUGGCUCUUUGCCUAUGUUGUUAGCAGAUGGAGGCUAAGCAUAUGAGAUAUGGUGGUUUGCUUCAAAGGUUACCCAUUCCUGAGUGAAAGUAGGAACGCAUAACCUUGGACUUUGUGACUGGUUUGCCUCGUACUUCUCAUAGUUCUGACAAUGUUUGGUUCAUCGUGGAUCGAUUGACCAAGUCAGCUUAUUUUAUUCUGGUUUAGGUCUCAUUCAGUGCUGAUAGGUUAGCCCAUAUCUACAUUUAUGAUAUUGUGUGUCUUCAUGGUGUGUCAGUGUCCAUUAUUUCAGAUCAAGGUCUUAUAUUCACAUCUCACUUUUGGAAGACUUUUCAGGAUGAGUUGGGUACUUGAUUGAUCUUAGCACAGGGUUUCACCCCUAGAUUGAUUGCUAGUCAGAGCAAAUUAUUCAGGUUUUGGAGGAUAUGCUUCGUACAUGCGUGAUAGAUUUUGGUGGAUAGUGGGAGCAUGAUGGAUUAUUGCACUUUAUUUUGGUAUUGGAUUUUAUGGACUGCAUUGAUUGAAUUAGAUUUGCACUUGAUCUCGUGUCGACUUUUAAAAGUUAGAGUUUAGAAGUCCCUUGACAUUUUUUUCUUUUGCGAGUGAUGAUUGUCCGAGUGUCACCUUUCUUGCUAUUAGAGUAGCCUUUUGACGUGGACUUGCCUAUUAUUUUCUUUAAGGUUGGAACCUCAAUUGGGUCAAAGCUCUCACAUUGUAGCAUGACGAUUCCUUUAACUUUUGGUGACGACACAAAGCACAUGGGUUAUAGAGCUUUUGAAACUGAACCUUUUUUAUGAUCCAAUUUGGCGUUAACAUAAUUUGCAUCAACUAUAUUUUCAUUAUCAAUGAUGAUUUUCUCCCCCGCGUUAGUGUCGUGAUCUUUUUCUUUAAGAUGAAGUAUUUUUUGGUGUGAUGACUAACAAUACAGUGAAAUUUGCAGUACUUAGCAUUGUCGACUUUGUUAAAUUCUACAGGUCACUUUGACUUAGGGAGUUCAAUGACUUCUUUGGCUAGCAACUCAUCAAAAAUCUCAGAAAUAUCAGGGUCGGAAAAAGGAUAUACCUUUGCUUGUAACUCCUUCAAAGUUGGUCAAUUUUUCACUCCUCGUAAUUGUUGCUUUGGAGAUUUCUUAUUCAAUUUUUGUCUUAUGGAGGCCAUCAUAGAACUCAAAAUUAUUGUCGUAGAUUCCCAAAUUUGGUUUUUUGAUGAGUCCUUGAAUCUUAUGACUUCUUUUCUGGGAUCAAAGACAGGUGACCGCUUUCAUGACUUGCAAUGCUUAACUCCAUGUCAUGAGCACACAUAGCAAAUUCUUCAAAAGUUCAAGGCUUAGAUCCUUGAAGGAUAUAGACAAGGCCCCAAUCCAUUCCUUUGUGAUCCUUGCAAUUAAACUCAAUGUUCGCCAGCGAUUGAUGUAGUCUACUACAGGCUUAUCUUUACUUUGUCUUGUGUUUGUCAACUCCGUCAUGCUAAUCAUAUGACGGGUGCUGUAGAGAUGAUUUAAGAACUUACUUUCUAGUUGCUCCUAAUAAUCAAUUGAUUCAGAUUCCAAAUUUAUGUACCAAUGAAAGCCGUUGCCUUUCAAAAAGCAAACAAAUUGCUUGAUAAGAUCACUAUGUGUACCACACUACUACAAGUCCUAACGAAAUGAGCGAUGUUUUUCCUUGGAUUUUCAUUUCCAUCAAAUUGUUAAAACUUUGGUGGUUGAUAUUCAACUGAUAUCGGUAAGUCCUUGAUUCGCUUAGAAUAUGGCUUUGAGUAUCCUAUAAAACUUUAUGAUGGACUGCUAUAUUGCAUCUAGAUGGUGUUUGCAAUCAUAUCUUGCCGUUGUUGAACUAUUAAAGUAUCCAUUGAAGCAGAUCGAUUAGUGCAUUGAUUGUCAAUUGACUUGAUGAGAGAUUCACCAUAAAUUUUUUCCUUGAAGUGUUAGAUUAUAACUUGACUCUGCAGGGUUGUAGAGAUCUAACUUGCCCAUAAGUUGGGUGAUUUGAAGAUCUUUCUCAUUCACAGGCUUCUUCAAGGCUUUAAUGGUAUGUUCCAUCAUUGCCAACUGCAUCAACCAUGAAGGUAUUGACUUUCAUUAAAUUUAGAGAAUUCAUUGAGUCCUCAGAUUCUUCAAAGUUGAAAAUAGUUUCAGACAAGUCGUUUGAUAACAUAGGUGCAAGAUUGACUCCGGGGGUUGUAGUUACAACCGAAAUUUAAGAUUUUCUCCUUUUUGUUAUCUCUAAAAAGGUCAAGUUUUGAGAUCUAUCCAAAGCACAAGCGUUGAGCUUGCAUCGAUUAAUGGGGCCAGCAAGUUUGAUCUCUGUAGAUGUGACAGUAAUAGAUUUCUUGCACAAAACGUCAUUGAUUUUUUUGAAUCCUAUUGCGGCAGUUGAGUUUGUGAUUUUCCAAUUCACGUAAGGAAGAGAUAAAGAGCAGAGAUGGUCCCACCAGGCACACUAAAAUUUAUUCGCAAUAAAUUUUUGUGGUGCUGAAAAUUAACUCCAAGAAAAAAUAAAUAAAAUCAAAAUAAUUUAUUAAAUAAAUUUUGUGAGUACAAUUCUAUUGUUCUCUUGAUUCUUCCCUCCUUAGCUUUUUUGUGAUUCGAGGGUCUUACGUAACGUGUUUCUCGAAUAUAGGAUGAUUCAGACUUCCUUGAGAUGUGUUUGAUCUCCAGAGACGUCGUGCAACACUUCUUUGUUUUAGGUUGAUCUUGGGAAGAACUCUGUUGACUAUUCCUUUGAAGAGUUGUGCAAUUGAUGUUGCGACUUGCUCCAACGCUGGCAGCAUAACCUCAGAAAAAUUAUGUAACCCUCUUAUUUAUAGUUGUAAGGGGUAGACAAUUUAAUUGUAAAUAACCUCUUCUUCCUCAUUUUGAUUGGUCCAUCAAGUUAUCAAGCUUAUCACAAAUGGUGUGUGAUAAGGUUGCUUGUGAUUGGCCAAAAAUAUGUUAUUUGGUAUACUUGAUGAUGAUUCAUUGGUUGUUGAACUUGACUUGGCUUGCCACGCCAUUUAAAUAUUUGGUCUUGGCUUGUUGGUCUUUAAUUUGACUAGGAUGCUACGUCACUUGACUCGUGGUAUGAGUUUGGAUUUCAAGAUGGACCUUGAAUUUAAUUUAAUGAACUUAUUAACUUUGUACAGCUCAAACUAAUUUCAACCCAAACAAAUAUGAAUUCAAUCCAAAUUUUCUAUGAAUUUGAUCCAACAAAUUUUAUCUGUCUACAAGUACAUGCUACAAUUUAUUUAUUUAUAUUUAUUUAUAUUUAUAAUUAUAUUUAUAUUUAUAAUAUAUAAAAAAGGCCUAAAGCAGGCAGGAAGAGGUUGUCCUGCUAGUUUGCUUCCUCAGGGUUACAUUGGUCACUUCAAUUAGGGAUAUUAUAGACUUUUCAUAGUAUUUUUCUGUAUUGCAACUUGCAUGCCUUUCAAGCAUUCAUCCUAAAUCUUAACGUGACAAACACACACGAGAAUAUUUUUGUGUGUUUUCCAGCUCAUCUUCACAUAUCUAUCUCAAAGUUUGGGUAAAGCGAUUUACUCUUUGAAGGUUGUAAUUUUGAACAUUUGUGUGAGUUCUCUUUAAUAAUUGCUCUAUUAUACAAUUCCAUUGAUUAAUUUGGAGUUCUCUUCAUCUGUUUGAUAUUGUGUCUGCCUUCGAUUUUGUUAUUCAUAGUUUCUUCUUGCUGCAAUUUAUUUUUUUUGUUAUCUAGACAAUGAUGUUUCCUACUUCAAUGUGAAUUUCUCUUUGAUUAUUUAUCCAUUCUUUUACAGGCUUUAUCAAUUUCGUAGUUAUGUGUUCUAUUUGGUGAUAUCUCUACUUUUAGGUCUAAUGGUUUCAGAGAUGAACUUUAUUUCUUUGUGCGAUUAUGGCUUUAAAUUUGCUUUUUCAUUGAAAUUUUUUAUCGUAAACUUGAAUGAUGGUACUUAAAUUUUGUUUCUUUUCGGUGUGAUUUAGAGGACAUGAUUUUAUAGAUUUAUUUUGCAAAUUUGCUUGCUCUCUAUUUAUUUUAAUUUGUUUUCAUCCUACUUCUCCUCUGUUUACUGAUGACACCAUAGCAAUUACUGAAAGAUCCUAAACCUGGAAAGAGUUUCUAUUUUAGUCAUCGUGCAUUCAAGGUAAACUAUUUUUGGGGCGUGGAUAAAAAACCACGUCGACUACACCUUAUCCUUGGGUGUUGAUACUCAAGAUGUUUAGAAACCUACUACUGCAAAGGAUAAAGUUAUAAAUUACUAUGCAUUUGUUGUUACUCAUGAACUCAAGAUCUUUUGUGCUCUAUCAAAUACUUCCAGACUGAAGCCAAAUAAUGGAAUACCAAUGUCUUUGGUAAUAUCUUCCAUAAGCUUAAAAGACUCCUAGCCCGACUUAAUGACAUUCAUAAAUCCAAACACUGCCCUUAUAGAAAUUUUCUCCAUAACUUGGAAAAUGAGGUGCUAGAGAAGUACAACCUCACUCUUUAGUAUAAGCAGGAUUUCUGAAAAAAAACAAAUCCAAAAUCAACUGGCUCAGUGAGUGUAAUGCAAAAACUAAAUUUUUCCAUACAGCCACCCUCAACAAAAGGAGAAAAAACUAAAUCCUCUCCCUAAAAGAUGUUACUAGAAACCUCAUACAGGGAGAGGAAGAAAUUAUCAAUCACAUAGCCAACUUCCUUAACACUCUCUAUACCACUGAACACAGUAACUCCAAGUGGUACAAAACCCCAGUCUAGAAAUAACAUCACUUCCCUCUUUAAGGAGACUAAGAGCUUGUUGGCAACCCCCUAAGAGAUAGUAAAAUUACCAAAGCUCUUAGUAUUUUCCAUCCCAUGAAAGCCCCUGGACCAAAUGGGCUCCACCCUUUAUUCUUCAAAAAAUUAUUGGAAUUUUGUGGGUAAGAAGACCAUAAAAUAUUUUCACAAAGUCUCUAAAGACAAUUGCAUUCCUAAGGAGGCCAACACCACAUUUCUCUGUCUCAUUCCUAAAUGCCAUAAUGCCACAUCAAUUAGGAAUUUCAGACCUAUUAGGCUCUGUAACUUCUCCGACAAGCUCAUUACUAAAAUCAUACUCAGUAGGAUCGAACCUUACCUAGACCUUCUCAUUGGACCUAAUCAAGCUAGCUGCUUAGCCAACUAGAGGGCUGCAGACAAUGUAUCAGUUACUUUAGGAAAAUGAGAGGGAAGAAGGCCAACAUGAUCUUGAAAAUAGAUCUAGAAAAAUCCUUUCAUAGGCUUGAAUGGUCCUUCAUCCAUGCACCCUUCUCUACUUCAAUUUCCCCAAGAACCUCACUAACCUCAUCAUGUCAUGUGUGACCACUUCCUUUAUUUCCAUCCUCAUUAAUGGCAAACCAUCCCCCUUUUUUGAACCCACCAGAGGCAUAAAAUAGAGAGACCCCAUUUCACUUUACCUUUUCAUCCUGUAUAUGGAAAGACUCUCCAGGAUCAUCAAUGAAACUGUACUCUAAAAGACUUGGGACCCCAUCAAAAUCACUACCAGUGGGCCCAAAAUUUCUCACCUCUUGUUUGCUGAUGACCUCACCCUUUUUGCCCAAGCUGACCUCAAAAACUGCAGAACCAUCAUCUAGCCCCUUAAUUACAUUAGUAAUAUCUCAGGAUAAAGAAUCAACUAUGCUAAGUCUAAAGUCAUCUUCUCUAAAAAUUACAGCAACAGUCUAGCCCAUGAAUGCUCCAUCAUCCUCAACAUCAAGAGAGGAGAUACCUUUAAAAACUAUCUUGGCUUUUCCAUCCUGAAUCACAAGCCCAUCCGUGCUUUCUUCCAGUACAUCAUUAACAACAUGAAUAAUAAACUAGUAUGCUGGAAAACCCACAUGCUUAACAUGACAGACAAAACUAUUCUUGCUAAAUCCACCUUGAGCAGUAUGCCCAUUAAUGUCAUGCAAUACCUUAAGCUUCCCCCAAAAACUAUUGAGAUUAUUGAUAGAAUUCAAAGGAACUUCGUGGGGAAGUAAUGCUGGAAAAAAGAAACUUCACCUUGUAAGCUAGGACAUCAUUGCAAGAAGCAAAUUCGAAGGGGGUCUAGGACUUGAAGACUCUUCAAAAACCCAAACUCUCUUUGGGUAAAAGUCUUAAUUUCUAAAUACCAAAAACAAAGAAGAAACAGUAAUGGUAGGACUUGGGUCUUUAGAAAUUGGAAAAUUAUCAGGAUGGAAAGAUUGUGGUAGGGGGAUGGCUUGGUCCAUCCACAAGGGUAACAAAGACAAAUUCUUCUAUAACUCAUUGAUACCUCAUACCAACCCUAUUAGGCACCACAUCUAUAGCCCUCUAAGAUUGAGGGAAGAAAACAUCAAAGUUGAAUAGAUCACCACGGAAUAUGGGAUUUGUCAAAACUAUCCAUCCAGAUACUUGGAAACAUUGUGAAAUCAUUCUUCACUCUAAACCCUUCCCUUGAGCACCAGAGAUGAUCAUCCAUACUAGAAACUAAUCAGUGAUGAAAAAUUCACUAGUAGUAUCUAUGAUGCCAUUGCUCAAUUUAUGAAUACCUCUCUCAACAUUGAUCUAAGAGUCUUCAAUGAAAUAUGGAAAGCUAACACACCCAAUAAGAUUAAGACUUUCCUUUGAAUUUUCACCUAUGGAAGAAUCCUCACCAAUGCUUACCUCAGUCAAAUAGGGUUGUACAUAGACCCCGAAUGCUCUUACUGCAACCUGGACACCACAACCUCUAAGCAUAUUUUCUUCCAAUGUCCCAAUGCUUUUGACUUCUAGAGAAAACUGCAAGAAACUGGGGUAAUCCCUAUAAUGACUACCCUUCACACCUUGGACAAUGUUAAUUGGGUAGUGUUGAUACCCAAUUUUAUCUCUCCAAACAUAAAAUUAACGCAUUCAGGCUCCCUGAUCAUUAAAUGACAUAAAAUGCAAUUUGUCGUAUAUUUUUUACAAUUGUUAAUAAAUUAUUAUUCCCUUCGUUUAAAAAAGAAUGACCUACUUUUCUUUUUAGUCUGUUUAAAAAAAGAAUGAUCCCUUUCUUUUUUUGGCAAUACUUUAAUUUCAAUUUUCCACAUAGCAUGUUUAGGACCACAAGAUUAAAGGGCAUUUUGGUACAUUUGACACAACUUUAAUUUAAGGCCACAAGAUUAAAAAGUCUUCUUCAUUUUCUUAAACUUUGUGUCAAGUCAAAGUUGAUCAUUCUUUUUUAAACGAGGGAGUAAUAAUCAUCAUUAUUUUAAAAUUUUUAUCAAUUUAUUGUCAUAUUUUAACUUUGCAUAAUUUAUUGAUAAUUAUUCUUAAUUUCAUAAAUUUUAAAAUUUUUGUCAGUUUAUUAUCAUUUUAAUUUCUUGUACAGUCAUUUGCAUGCGUAUAUAGCAUAGCACUGCAAUUUUUUUACCGUACAUUAUAAUUUUAAUUGUUUAUAGUAUAAUAUAUUUUUUUGGAUAAUUUUAUUAUAUUUGUUAUUUACAUUUUUCUGUAAUUAUAUAUCGACAUUCAUAUUUUUAUACGUUAUUUAAUAUAGUCUGCAAACGAUAAUUUCGACUUAAUUAUUUUGAUACAUGGAGCAACAAAUCAGUCAAAUCAAAAUCUGAUCACUUUUUAAAAAGUGACAUUUGAGAUGAUAGGUUAAUGCUUUCAUUCGUUGAAUAAAUAAUCUUUACACAUUGGUUAAAAGGGUGUAAGACCCAUGGGAUAAUAUGUAGUAACUUAAAUCAUUUACUCUCUUCGUUUAAAAAUGAUGACCUACUUUGAUUUGACACAAAGUUUAAGAAAAUAAAAUUUUUUUUUUGAAUCUUGUGGCCUUAAAUUAAAGUUGUGUCAAAUACACCAAAAUAUCCUUUAAUCUUAUGGUCCUAAAUAUAUCAUGUGAAAAGUUGAAAUUAAAGUAUUACAAAAAAAAAGAGAUCAUUCUUUCUAAAAUGGAUUAAAAAUAAAAUAAGUCAUUCUUUUUUAAAUGGAGAGAGUAUUAAAGAGACAAGAAGAGGUAGUUUAUUAUUUUUUUUGGAUAAAAAAAUGAAUUCCUCCUUAUUAUAAAUAAUAAUAAGAGGGUAAUUAUUUUUAACCUCACAGUGCAUACACAAACGCACAUGCACACAGACACACAUACCUCCCCAUUCUCUCUCUCACCAUCUCCGACAGCCUGACAGGCGGAGCACCACCAGUCGCUGCCCCUCUCUCUCCUCUUCCCUCUCUCCUUCUCCUUCACUGUCGCCAACAAAAUCGACCGGAGCCGUUACCGCACCCAAUCCCCCGUUUUCUCUCUCCGCUUCAGCACCACCAGCUGCCACCACCGCCUCAACAUCCACCAGAGGAGCAUCCAACCAGACAAGCCAGCAGCCCAUUCCACCCGUGUUUCCACCACUGUCGUUGGAGCUUCCACGGGUCUCACUGCCAUCGCCACCCUUUCCCUCUUUGCCCUCAUCGUUGACCAGCCUACUAUCACUACUGUAUUUUCUCCCUUUACCUGCAUUUUUUAAUAAAAACUAUUCUUUGCAGAUCUGUUUGGCUUUCGUAUUUUUUGGUGUUGCUUCGGUGAAAUCCGUGGAAGCAGCGCCUCCCUUUUUCCAUUGUUGCAACCAGAUCUGACCGGGAAAUAUUUUUCUUUGUUGAAAUCUGUUUGUUAGCUUGUAUACUCUUGUAUCGUUAGUUUGUUCUAUCUGGAUAUUGUUACUGUGUUAACGGACUAAGUUUGUUAAUUUUUUUUUUUGUCUUUUGUUCGAAGAUAAAUCAGCUCGGAACUUACAUUCUUUUUGACAAAUUUUGGAUUAUUUUGAUAAAACUGUGAUGACCUCUGCCACUCGACUGCUUUCUUUCAUAAUUUUAUCACUUUUGCUUUAUGCUAUUAUCUUUCUCUGUCUCUUUAUUAUUAUUAUUAUUAUUAUUAUUAUUAUUAUUAUUUGUGGACUGAUUUAGUAUUGUUUAAAUUUAAAUUUUUUUCCAUUGACUUGCUAUUAUUUUACUUGAUUAUAUGAUCACUUAAAUAUGUGUUCUUGAUUCAUUUGAUAUUGAUGCGUAUUUUAAAUGACACGUGUAAUCUGUCUUUUUCUGUUUAUUUUUCAAUGAUUUUAGGUAG